AAUAAUUGCUCUGGAUAGCCUUUAAAUUAAAUCAAAAGAGCCUGUGAAAAUUCCGCAUGCCCAGCAGAAAAGAAUUUCUAUACAGGGUGGAAAUGAUUGUACAUUUCACCUGCUGGGCAUAACCCUAUUUCACCAUCUUUUUCGUGGUGGAGACGUGGAGUAGCCAUUGGUGAUUUCCAGUUAUUCUUUCACCAUUGGCUCUUGUUACAAGCGUGCCAAAUUACAGUAAACCGGAAAAUUUAAUUCUGUGCCUAAUUUUCACCUCUUAUUUGUGUAUCGUCUGGUACCCAGUCAUCGCUGGCAAGAACAAGAUGAUCACCAUCUCUGAUGAGCUCAACCUCGUCAACCUCUGCGCCCUCAAUUGUCAGGACCUUAGUGGGCAUCAUGUCAAACUUCUUCGCACCUAGCUGAAGAAGCUCCUUCAUCGACCCCGGCAAGAUCACAAGCUUCCCAGCAGUGUUCCCCUUCUCGGGGCAGCCGAUUGUCACCCUGAUGAGUGGUCUGUGAUGGGCCUGAGGAUAACUCGGACCACCUGUUGCCGCAAGACCUCUUGAGAGCAGAUGAUCAGUCUCUCGGCGCGGAUGAGACGAAGAGAUGACACCAAAAAGAGAGUUGUGGAAGCUGACUUUCCUUCUUUGUGGUAGAACUUUGCUGGGUUGCUGCUCAGCAUCUUCACGGAUCACCUUUUGCAUCGAGGGAUCACUGCUGAACCUGCCUAGCAGCAUUGGUGUCACCCUACCGUUUGAUGUGUAUUUCCUUGGUGCUACCACUGAUCUAAACAGGUUUUGUAUUUCUUCAUGACCUUGUUGCUCAGCUAGAGCUCUUGGGGUCCAGCCGUUACUGUCCUGCUUAUCGAUGUCUGCUCCGUGUCUCAGUAAUAGCUCGACCAUCUCAACGUUCCCGUCGCAGACAGCGCGGUGCAGCGGAAUGUUUCCAUCUUUGGAUGGCCUGUUUACGUCGAUGACAUGCUUGAGUAUUUGCUUGAGCAGUUCUAUAUCAUUUUGCUCGACUGCGGUGCAAGCAUAUAAGCUUGUAUCCCCUGCUGACAGUUCUGCACCGCCCUUGAUUAACAGCUGCACAACCGUAUCAUGUUUUGCAUACACAGCCUCCCAUAGGGGAACCUUUCCUUCCGAAUCUGGAUAUUGGAAGAAUUAAAGGCAUGAUCAGUUAAGGGUAAUCAAACCUUAAAAACUCUUCGGGAUUGGUAUCAACAAUUAAUAAGGCACUCUUGUACUAGUCAAGAAUUAAAAUAUUCUUGAAGUGAUAGAUGCUCAUAAAUUUCAGAAGAAUUAUGCAGAUGGUAGAUUUGCUUCACUAUGAUGAUGAUCUAUAAUUCUAUAUAUACAAGGGACUAUCAUGAUUGGGCAUACCCCUGGCAUUUGGAUCAGCUCCAUAAUCCAAUAGAAGCUUGACACAUUGCUCAUUUCCUUUGGAAGCAGCUAUGUGCUGUUGAUCAUGAAAAUGAACGCUGUCACGUUCCUGCUUAACAAAAUCUGUAGAAUAAAGAAUACAGUUAUGAUGAGGAGCAUACUAACCAGUGCUGUACGCCCAUCUUGAUCUGACUCAUUUGGAUCCAAAUUACGCUUAAGUAGUUGAUGCAACAAAUGGUCAUCUCCUCUAGUCACUGCAAAGCCGAGUGUAAUUGGCAAAUCCAGACGACCUCGAGCUAGCAUGCUCUCGAUCUCCUUCAGAACACCUACCAUUACGCCGUCUUUCUGCUCUUUUAGUAACUGCACCAAAGAUAGGAUCUUAAUAGGACGCAGAACAAUCCUUGAUGUUAUUACAGUUGUUCUUAAGCAAACGGCAUUUGGCAAAGCAUUCUCAUCAUAGUUGGUUAUGGCUGGGAGGAUCAGAGGAAAUUAACCCGAGAUAGACCCCAUCAUGCAAUUUAAGGAUCUUAGGUGAGCUAGCAUUAAUUUGAGGACUGAAGUUUCAAAUUCAUAUAUUGUUGAUGCAGGUUCUAGUAGUGUAGCACACGAUCUUAGCAAGAAAGAUCUAACAGAUUCCGUAAUGUGCGAUUUUGGGGGGAGAAGAUAAUUGUGAAGAGUAAUAUGGAUAGCAAACCUGAAUAAGGUUGUUCAUUAUGAUAGUUCCAUCUCCAACAUUGGAUUGAACAAUGCUGAGAAAGGCCGUACGGUUCAUGCGUAGAAGCUGACAUAACGAUCUUGUCCGGACUGUGAAUAGUUGAGGCCUAUAGCAAAGAACCCCGAUUUCUCCAAUAACAUCUCCUGACUUAGCCACUCCAACCACCUGGAGAUUAAAAAAUAUCAGUAUAUCCUUUUCAGGACCAUUUAAUGCAUAAAUUUACUUAAUGCUAAGCAUCAAAGCAACGCAGGACUUACCUGUUCUGCACCAUGUUCCGCACCAUUUGGAACCUCUACUAACUCCUGAAAAGGCGAAAUGUUUAUUGAUUAUUAAAAUGACACUUACACUUUUUUGGGUUUUAUAUAAAACUAAUAUAUCAGUAUAACUACCUUAUUUGUCUGUACUCUUCUCAUACAUAACUAUAUCAACUAUGGAAAUAUAGAAGGGAAGGAUAAGAAAAACUGUAUUCUUACCACACUACCAGAAACUAAAAUGUAGAAGUCAGUGGGUGCUUCAUUCUGCAAAAUGACGUCCUCCCUAGGUGGAAAAUAUUCGGCUUUCAUCUCCGAAACCUUAAAAGGAACCAUGCAAAAUGUCAACAUAAGCAAGCGUUCAGGUAGUAAUUACCUAAGGGAAAGACUAAAUAUUUACCACGGGCUCACCAGUUGAAAAAUCAGAUCAUUAGAUACUCCUUGAAACAAGUAAAUGUUUUGAACCAGAUUGAGAAACAGAUAUUGCGAAAUGCUAGAUCUAAUAGCCUUAGGCAGCGCAUCAAGAGUCUCUUGUUGUUGAAGACCUUCAGAAUCUGUCCUGAACUUUAAGCUAAGAUGUGAUAUCAUCUGAUCUUGCAACCGAGGUGGUAGCUGAUUCCUAAGUGCAAAGCUGGUUGCUGCUUGAAUUGUAUCCCGCUUUAGUCAAAAGGGGGGGGGGGGGGGGGGUCUCAGAGUUGAGUAUUAAAAUAACUACCCAAUGUUUAUUAUCAAUCAAAGGUUAGUCAAAGUUAAACGAAACUCACAUAUUUUCGAGUACGGCUGGUGCCAUGGACAACCAAGUUGGUCAUGUUGCCAAUCAAAUAGGCAGUCAGUCCAAGGUUAAAGAACAUGUAGAAAAUGUUGAAAAUCAUCUCCCGUAUGUUCUCCGCAUGAUAAUCCCCAUAACCCACAGUGGUAAGCGUGGUGAUUGACCAAUAUACUGAUGUUACGUAGCGAAUCCACAAGCCCUUGGAAUGAAAAUCUGGCAUGGUAUUCCCAAUCCACGUUUCUUGUGGGUUCGGGUACCUAUCAGCAAGGAGAUAGUAGAAGCAUGCUGCACAGUGCACGGCAAAAAGUGUGACCUACAAGAUAAAAUGUAAGGAAAUAGGAUAUCAUCAUUCAUCCAGAAUACUGAAGUUACAGGAGAAUAGUCAAAUGUUGAAAUCACUUACACAAAUGAGCUUUGCACAUCGAACCCAGAAGUAAUUGAAGUGUCUAUCCUUCUCCAAUCUAGUAAAUGAAGAAAUAGAGGUUAAACAUGGUACACAAGCAAUAGGCCAAUCAAUAAGUUUUAACAGGGCACGAUCAGACUUAGACAGGACCUCAGAACAGAAGAAAAAAACUUGAUUUUGUAUAUUCAUGCAUUACCGGAACGUACCUAGCAAAGAGAGAGCUGACUCUCCGGAGACGCCAUAGACGAAGCAUGUUGAAGAAUCCAUAUGAUCUGAGCUUUGAAGGUAGCAUCCUGCGAGCAAUUUCUGAUGGGAUAGUGGAGGCAACGUCAAGAACCAACCAGCUGGUAGCAUAACGCCAAGCAAUCCUCUUUGGAUCAUCUUCCAGCAAAUAGGUCAGUCUGUCCAAGUAAGCUACAAAGAAGGUCAGGAUGAUGUCAAUUGCGAAGAUUGCAUUCACGGCAUUGUCCGUCGCAGCUAGGCCUCCUGUAGGAAUCCGAAUGAAGCCAAAUUCGAAUGGGGAGAUCCACGCAGAGUAGACCACAAGAACUAUGAGGAAAGUCUCCCACAAUCUGCACAAUGGUAAUAACAAGAUGUCAGAAUUGAUUCUUGCAGCUAUUGUAAAAAUGUCUUAUUUCUCUACAGUAGAGACCAAAUUAGCCCGCUUAAAAGUGUAAUUAUGUUUAUUAUUUAUGCCGGGUUUGUUUAGCAUUAUUGCAUACUACUUGACCCAGAAUACCACAUACAAAUGUAUACUACUCCCUUCAUCCCUAAAUAUAAGAUGUUUUAGCAUUUCUCUAUUUUCUCAGAUUCGUAUGCAUCUAGACGCGUUUUAGUGUAUAUAUUCACUCAUUUUAAUUCGUAUGUAGUCCAUAUUGCAAUAUCUAAAACAUGCAAUAUAUUGUUUUGGGAAUUUUACAUUUGUACGUGCAGUUUCCAGUUUCCACCCUGCACAGGCAUGUAACGCGACACGUUUUUGCGUAUAUUAGCAAUAAAAUUAAGAAAAGGGGGGGGGGGGGGGGGGCAUUUAAUCCUCACUAAGACAAGAGCAAUCUGUGGGCAUUUCCUGCUGCUUUGCUUUGCUCUGUUUUGUUUUUGGUUGCUUUGUUUUUCUUUCUGUCUUUGGCUGCUUGGCCUUGUGCAUGCUUCAUGCCUUCUCGUUGUCUCUUCUAAUACAAAACGACACACGUUUAGGCGAGAAAAUUUCUAGUUUUUACCACUAGUUAUUGCAGUCACGCAGAGUAUCAACAGUUGGUCGAUCGUUUUAUUUUUGCUCCUUUUACCUCGCACUCGUUCCUUAUUGACUGUUUAACCCCAUUGAGAAAUUUUUGGCCAACCUGACCUCGGAACACACAUGUAAGACCAAUGUGGCAACUGACAUGGACUUCACAUCCCAAAAUAUUGGGAAAUACUUGUAAGAAGUCUACAAAAUCUAGGGAAAUAAAUCAUAUUUCACUAAUUUUAAUUAACUCCAAAUUUGGUUGAGCCAUUCUGUUUUUUUAUGUACAUUUGUAAUCUAAAUUUAAGGUAUUUUUCCAUUUGUUUGGAAUUUGGAAGUGAGUUUAUACUUGGAACAAGUACCACAUAAUUUGAAGUCACGAGGAGUGAGAUACUACUCCCUCCGUUCCUAAAUAUUUGUCUUUGUAGAGAUUUAAAUAUAGACUACAUACAAAGCAAAAUAAAUGAAUCCAUAUUCUAAAUUAUGUCUAUAUACAUCCGUAUGUUGUUUAUAAUGAAAUCUCUAGAAAGACAAAUAUUUAGGAACGGAGGGAGUAUUUUUCAUGUUUUUGGAGAAUUUCUAUAAUUAUUUUUUAAUACUUGGUGACAUGGCAUCCAUGUAGCCUUCAAGUGAGGGCUGACUAUGAUGACAUGUGGGGUCGUCCUAUCAGGCUGAGGACAAUUUGUUAAAUGGGAUACAUCUGUAUCUGCUGUAUCUGUACCGAUCACUUGGGUGGAAUCAAAAUAAUCUUGGUAAUUCUUCAGUCUGAUCGUACCGUCCACGAAUUAAAUUGGACCAAUGGAAAUUACUCCAUACCUUAUAACUAAUUGUUAAAUUUGUGGCUAAUUAUAAUAGUAUUUUUUUUCUUUAUUCGUCGAGACGUGCCUUGCAUGUUAUGCAAUCACUAGUCCUGGAUUAAGCACAGGUUCAUGUCGAAAAAAAAAUGAAAUCUUGUUAAAUCGGGUAACAAUUAACACUGUGUGAGAACUAAGGAGUUAAAAAUUCAGACUUGGAAGAAAUAAAUAUAGCGAUAAAUAAUAAUUCAAACUUGCGAAACUUGGUAAAUGAUGCAAAAGGCAGUAAACCACCGACCGUAAUUCAAACUUGCAAAACUUGGUAAAUGAUGCAAAAGGCAGUAAACCACCCACCAUAGCAGAAGCCGUAAACAAGUACUACUAAUUAAGUUGGCCCCUUCAAAUAAACCCAAGAAAUGAAUNNNNNNNNNNNNNNNNNNNNNNNNNNNNNNNNNNNNNNNNNNNNNNNNNNNNNNNNNNNNNNNNNNNNNNNNNNNNNNNNNNNNNNNNNNNNNNNNNNNNAAUUGAAGUGCUUGUAAUCACUACUGGUGUGUCCAUUAAAACCGUCCCAUCUGGUUUAGGCAUCUCAACGUCGGUUGUUGGCUCAGUCGCAACAUAUGGAUCAUUAUGUCUAGAAGGUCAACUUCCUUGCCUGUUUUUUCUAUUUGAGGGUUCGGAGUAUAUUGGCUUGGAGCACCAGAAAAUGACGUGGCAGCAUGAUUUGACAAAAUAGCCUUUUCCCUAUAAUGGUUAAAAAUCAUGUAUUGUGUUAAGGAAAUAAUGGUGUAAAAGUAAAUACAUCAGGUCAAGACCAGAAACUUACCCACGAUAGAUGUUAAAAGCUGGGAGUUGUGUUGCUGAUGAGUCGUCCAAAAAUGGAGGAGAUUCGUGAUAAGUGAGUUUGAAGGACUAAGAGGUUGUUUAAAAAGACAGGCCUUCGGACAAGAAUUGGUGGGACUAUGUGGCACCUAAACGUGUGGUAUACGAGCCAGCGGAGCAUGAGACAAGCCAGGAUUUAAGUCGCCUGAACCACUUCGGUCUUUUGUUUUGAUUGACCAGCAAAUUGUGUUUUCUUCAAAAUAAAAUCGGGAGCUAAAUGAGUGUGUGGAUGUGAUAUUUUAACCUUCCAAACGGCUUUUCUUGGCUUUCUUGUAAAAAAUGUUGCUGAUGAACUGGAAGAGAUUGAAAUUAUCUCAAUAUUCCCGGUUUGACUGGAUUCUGAGUCGUUGGGAGAAUAAGGUGUUUCGGCAAAUUCAGUUAGCAAACGACUAAGAGAGUCAGUUUCUACCUUCGUUUGUUCUCCCGAUGAAGAGUCAUGAGUCGGAUUAUCAAGAGCCGGAUCGUUUUUCUGGCCCAAUGAAAAAACAGGGAUGUGAGGUGUGACAUCCAAAUAUUGGAACUUUCCUGCAAAAAUAAAAUAAAGUAUAUGCUGAAGAUAGCGGGUUAAGAUGAAAUUGACAAAAGAAACAUAUUGUACGUGUUGGAAAAAAGUUCAGUGCCGGUGUUGGACGAUUUAGUAGAUAAAAUGGACACAUACCACUAACGCUGCAUUUCUCCUUUGAGUUGGCGAAAAAUCUCCUUUUUCUUUGUUGAGAGCGUCAUCAGUUAACUCCAGACUAGAGAAGCGUUGAACGUUAGAUGAGUCACGUGAGUAAUCACACAUCAAGCGGAUUCUCACACUCACGGGUUGAAUCCGCCACUUCAACAAACAGUGAAUCAGGUCAAUAUCGGUAAGGCCAUGUGCGGUCUGAGCCCUUAAUUUUGUGCGGAGAGGCGCCAUCAGAUCUCUCUCUUCAUCCUUUGGCCAAACCGGAAAUUCCACGUUAUUACCGGGUCGUUCCAACCUAAAACCUUCAAAAGUAUUCUCCUAUUGGGGCAGUGUUCUUGCAGUAGAACCAGGUUUUCUUCCAUCCUUUUGGAUGACUCGCAAACUUUGAUUCAAGGAAGGGAUUAUUUUUUUCUCUUCUGGACAGAAACUCCACCAAGCUCACAAGUGUUAGGUCAUAUUUGUCCCUAAGUGGUUUUGGUGAUUGAUGACAAUGCUUGUGCGGAAUAAUCAUGUGCAUUGUGCAUUUCAGAUAAUUCGUGACUAGGCACAAGACGAUUCGGUGCCCCUCGGAGUCUUUCAAAGAUGGUUGCUUUCUACGUUUCUCUUUGGUGGAUUUGAGUCAUAGGAAAGUCAUACUAUUGAGAGGGGGUCCGCUUCAAAAAGGUUUGGGUGGAAUCAACACGUAUACAUUUCUAUUGCACCACCUUUCCCUUGCUUCAAUGGAGCUCGAGCGUGUUCUUCCCUGUCUGUGCAAAAGGGCCAGCGGUAGUACCGCUGGUGCGAGCGGUAGUACCGCUAUCUGGCCGGUAGUAGUUUUUGACUACCGCUCUCUGGGCGGUAGUAGUAUUUUACUACCGCUCUGUGGGUGGUAGUAGUUUCUUACUACCGCUCUAUGGACGGUAGUACCGCUUCGUCGGACUUUUUGCGCAUCCACAGCCUCAGCGAUGGUAGGCAUGGUAGUAAUUUUUUACUACCGUGGUUGGUGAACCUACCGUGCGGCAGUACCGCUCCUAGCAGCGGUAGUGCCGCUAUGCUCGGGUUGUCAGUGGGGGGUAACGGUUGGAUUCCCCCCCCCCACACACACUAUAUAAAAAGCUCUUCUUCCUCUCAAAGCUUACCUCUUACCUCCCCAAGCUCCAUUUUUGCUCCAAAGCUCAUUUCUGCCCAAUCUCUCUCCCUAGCCAAUCAAACUUGUUGAUUUGCUAGGGAUUGGUUGAGAAGGCCCUAAUCUACACUUCCACCAAGGGAUAUUUGAUUCCCCCACUAAUGUCUUGCGGAUCUUGUUAUUCCUGGGUGUUUGAGCAACCUAGGCGGUUCAGAUCACCUCGGAGCCACAUUCCAUUGUGGUGAAGCUUCAUGGUCUUGUUGGGAGCCUCCAAGCUUUGUGUGGAGAUUGCCCCAACCUUGUUUGUAUAGGUCUGGUACCCGCCUUCAGGAUCACCAAUAGUGGAAUCAUGACAUCUCGCAUUGUGUGAGGGCGUGAGGAGAAUACGGUGGCCUUAGUGGCUUCUUGGGGAGCAUCGUGCUUCCACACCGCUCGAACAGAGACGUACUUCCUAUCAAAGGGAAGGAACUUCGGUAACACAUCCUCGUCUCCACCGGUUCAUCUUGCGGUUAUGUCUUACCUUUACUUUGUACUUAUUGUUUUUGUGGUGUAUUCCUUGCUUGCACUUGUUGUAAUACUUGUUAGCAUCAUUAGGUUUCUCACCUAGUCGUUCAUCUAUAGAACCUUUUGUUGCUAACCCUAAUUUGUUAAGAAGAGCUAAAAAUUGGUAGUUUCCUAUUCAUCCCCCCCUCUAGUCAACCAUAUUGAUCCUUUCAAUUGGUAUGAGAUCCCGUCUCUUCAUUAAGGGUUUCACCACCCGAAGAGUAUGGUUAACGACAGUGUGGUUGGUCUCGAAGUGACCGAGGCUGUGGAGUUGACUUGGAACACACAGGACGACUUGAAUGAGGCUAUGCCCUCACUCAAGACGUCCAUGACGACCGAAGUCAAGUCCAUGCUUAAAGAAUUACCUGAGGGGAUGAANNNNNNNNNNNNNNNNNNNNNNNNNNNNNNNNNNNNNNNNNNNNNNNNNNNNNNNNNNNNNNNNNNNNNNNNNNNNNNNNNNNNNNNNNNNNNNNNNNNNCGAGGUCAAGCCACCACACUGUGUAUUUCCGAUUAAAUAAAUACUUACGUACCUAUAAUAAUUUUUGGUAAAAAUAAAGAGCAUACUACAAUGCAGCUGCAAUUCAAAUUUAACCCGCUUCCAACUGAAUCAAUAUAAAUUUGUCUUUUUCACGAGGGGGGAUAAAAGCUUUUAACACACAACAAUUUUUUUCAAUUUUACAUUAAAUAUGGCCUAGUAUUUUAUAAAAAUGAUUUGGUCCAAUUUUGAAACAAAUAUAUGGUAGGUCCUUCACAAAAAAACUCAUUUUGGACACUUGAAAAAUGGAAAAUGAUUUUUACAUAGAAGGAAAAUGAAAAAUUCCUUAAUAAACAUUGUUUGCCAUUCCAAUACGAACCCUUGUGCAUAAUAUUAGAUCAUUUGAACAAACUAUGCCAUGAAUGUGGCCAUAAGAUUGAUCAUUUGGCUUGAAAACCAAGAAUCUUCACACAUGAUAGCCCAUUUCUGAGAACACUUUUUAAAAAUAAUUGCCGUAUUACAAUUUUAUUAUUUUUCCUGGUAAAUUUGUCACAUAUAAUCACACAAUGAAAAGGUUUUCCAUUUAUUUUGAUUUUUUUGAAUUUUUCAUGGCCAUUUCAAAAUGCGGUCAAAACGGCGGGUAUGACCGUUCCUAGCUAGUGGUUGAAUCUUAGAAACUUUUGAUGUUUCUAUGAUUAAAUAGAUACUUUUGUACCUAUAAAUCAUUUUUUAUAAAAAUAAAAAGUAAACUAUGAGGCAGGUGCAGUUGAAAUUUGACCCGCUUCCAACUAAUUCGACGAAAAUUUGUCUUNNNNNNNNNNNNNNNNNNNNNNNNNNNNNNNNNNNNNNNNNNNNNNNNNNNNNNNNNNNNNNNNNNNNNNNNNNNNNNNNNNNNNNNNNNNNNNNNNNNNACCAAGUAUAUAGGUGCAUUAAUUUAAUAGCAAUUAAUAGGGUGAUAUAACAAGGAACCUAUGUUAUCACAUGGAACCAACUACACCUGCAACUAGCAACGCUAACACGGGGUUAAGCAAGCGGUAACAUAGCCAAUCAGUGGUUUGCUAGGUUGAACAGGUUGAAGGUUUUCAUGGCAUUGUUGAGAGGCUGAUAUUUAACAUGUGGUAGGCAAACACACAUAAUCGAUAGCAUCGAAAUAACUAGCAUGGCAAUGAUAGUAAUGGUAUCUGGUGAAAUGGUCAUCUUCCUGAGAUCCCGCUUGGAAGAAGAACGACUCCGUGAAGCAGACGAACCGAUGUAGUCGAUCGGGUCCUCACUUUCCGACACGCUUGCGGAACUCUAUCGAGAUGGACGAAACCGCAAACAAGCAUCAACACACGAUAUUCACCACACGAUGCACAUCACAUAUGAUGCAUGAGCAGCUGAAUACAUGCAAGUCACGGCAUGUCAAUUCACAACAACCAAAUACUACACAUUAAGUGAAGUUCAAUAUGCAACGAGUUGCAUAUUGAUGAAACUCCACAUACGAGUUAUUUAGUUCUAUCCCAAUUAGGUACACGGCAAUAUUAAAUGUGGUGACACAUGGCAAGAGGUGAAGCGUAAUUAAACUACCUAUCUAGGCAUUUUAAAUGAGGUCAGAAAUGACAUAUAGCACCUCCGAAACGACCUCACAUAUUAAUUUUACAGUUCAGUCCAGAUCUGAACUAACACAUUUAAUUAGUUGUUAAACAGCAAAACAAAUAGGCUCACAUGAUUCUACGUGUCGUUACAAGAAAUUUACACAUAGAGAACAUCUCCAACGGAGCUACGGAUCAAAAGAUACAAGCACCGCAAAAUAUGAUUGCAUGAAUGCAAAAUGUGUGCAACGACAGUCAUGAGCACUUCAAAACAUACAACCAGCAAGAGAAAAUGAAACUACACGAGNNNNNNNNNNUCUACGCGUCUUUACAAGAAAUUUACACAUAGAGAACAUCUCCAACGGAUUUACGGAUCAAAAGAUACAAGCACCACAAGAUAUGAUGGCAUGAAUGCAAAAUGUGUGCAACGACAGUCACGAGCACUUCAAAACAUACAACCAGCAAGAGAAAAUGAAACUACACGAGAUUCUAAGCAAGUUUAAUAUAGGAUACGAUCAAAACGGAGCUACGGUUCAACAACUACGAGCAAAACAAGAAAUCACUACAAUCUGCCAAAAUCAGCCACAUAGCAUUUUCUACGCCCCACAACUACGAGCUACAAAAUCCCAACAUGCUCAACCAAGGCAUGAGACGAUAGAGGGAAAGAAGCACUACAACAUACAACCAACAACACCUAGCAUGGCAUCAAGGAACACUAGGAAAAGAAGUCACAAAAUGGCUUCUCACACACAAUUUCAGACUUAGUGAAAAUAACACUUCAUGAAAGUGCAGUUUCGAUCUGAAGCCAUAUUGACAGCAGCAAAACCAUAAUCUACACGACUCCAAAUGGCACGAAAAUUCACAGCAUGCUAUAGAAUCCCAAAGUCUACAACUAACUCCAUUGGACCAACCUCAAAAGAGCUACAGAUCACAAGAUAGAAGCAAGACAAGACAUCAACAAAAUAUAACAGAUCUCAGACUUACAAAUAUUUCAGCAACUCUAAAACAUCACUAUUUCCUAGCAAGUAAAGAACAACCAAAGCACACCUAAACAUGGAUUUCUAUUGCAACUAAAAAUACCAGGGGCUAGACUAAACAUCAAAGGGCAAAUCUCUAGUUGACAACUCCUUCAAACGAAGCACGGAAUAAAUCCUAUGAAAUAGACAACAGGGCAACAUAGCAAAAUAUUGCGCGAACUAACUUGCUCAAAAGCUAAAACUGUAUACACAGAAAUGUGGGGUUGCACAACAAUAAUAUCGCUGCACGUAAAUGCGAGAUAAUGUCCUAAACACGGAAAAUAAACUAGCGGCAAAUCCCUACACACACAAAAUACCAAUGACUACUCUAAAAUACAUGGCAAAGGGGUUCCUAAAACAUGGACAUUUCUACUAUGGCAUUCGAGCUAUUCGAACACACGCGAAAAAUAAAUGCGGGCACUAUCCUAUUGAGACAGCACGUAAACCUAGGCAUAUGGCACGCUAAACGGCGUCAAACAUUUAUGCAAGUUAUUAAUUCGGAUUCUACGCGCAAAACUACACAAAAACCAUAUACAACUCAUCGCGAUCCGACUUACAGAUUAAAAGAUAUGGCAUAUUAUUAUAAGUCUAUAUUCUGGAAUUUAUUAAUUCCUGAAACUACCUAAAUUAUCUAAUGGGCCGACAGUGGCGUAAUAUAGCGAAAAGGUGCACACGCGGGGGAAUGGCUCACCUUGGGCCCCAAGGAGGCAGUGGGCCGAGGGGGCUNNNNNNNNNNACGAAGGGGCGCUCGAGGAGUGGCCGAGCAGGGGAGGAGGCCACCCCCAGCUGGGCCUUGCCGGGCAGAUCGGCCCAUCGGCCAGGGCGAGCGAGGCAGCCUGGUCGGGCGGUCGCCUCCUCCCGCACGCGCAUAGGGAACCGGCGGCGGGAGCUGACCGCGGCGGCUCGUCUGUCCGGCGAAUGGGGGUGCAGGCGGCGGGGGAAACCGGCAGUAUCCGCCGGAUCCGGCCAUGGGGAAUCUGUUCCCGAUGGCGGCGGAUCGAGGCGGCGCUUGGGGAGUAGAUCGGCGGCGGGGAAUCUGGCGAGUUCCUGGCNNNNNNNNNNNNNNNNNNNNNNNNNNNNNNNNNNNNNNNNNNNNNNNNNNNNNNNNNNNNNNNNNNNNNNNNNNNNNNNNNNNNNNNNNNNNNNNNNNNNCAUAUCUAUGCUUAGCAGACGUGACCACUGAUGAUCAAAUGAAUGAUCCCAAACACCUACCUACAUCAGACAUAACCCCACCGUGUCCUCGAUCGGAGAAGGAACUAACGAAAGAGACAGUCACAGUUACGCACACAGUUGGCAAGUUUUAAUUAAGUUAACUUCAAGUUAUCUAGAACCAGUGUUAAACAAAGUUUCCAUGUUGCCACAUAACCGCGGGCACGGCUUUCCGAAAAGAGUUCACCCUGCAGGGGUGCUCCAAAUAAUCCAUCACAAAUUACCACAAGCCGCAUAGAAAUCCUCGAUCACGAAGCUCACAAUCUCGUCGGACUCCUUAGUGGAAAACCUCAACUCUGAGAUUACCCAAAGCAUCACCGGAAUCCNNNNNNNNNNCCGUGGGCACGGUUUUCCGAAAAUAUUUAACCCCGCAAGGGUGCUCCAACUAAUCCAUCACAAAUUACCACAAGCCGCAUAGAAAUCCUCGAUCACGANNNNNNNNNNNNNNNNNNNNNNNNNNNNNNNNNNNNNNNNNNNNNNNNNNNNNNNNNNNNNNNNNNNNGCGUGUCGACGAUCCCGAUAGGAGCCGCGUAUCUCGUUCUCAGGACACGACGGAUAAGCGACGCGUAUGGUGGCCUGAUAGAAAUCACCCAAGUUUCCCUGGGUUGGCCCCGCACAGUGCUCUGUUUUGGACCNNNNNNNNNNNNNNNNNNNNNNNNNNNNNNNNNNNNNNNNNNNNNNNNNNNNNNNNNNNNNNNNNNNNNNNNNNNNNNNNNNNNNNNNNNNNNNNNNNNNACGGAGGCGCUGCCACAUCCUGUUCUUCAUCUGGAGGGCAGAUCUGGAGUCCGUUUCGGGCUCCGGAGAGGGGAAUUCGUCGCCGUCGUCAUCAUCAACCUUUCUCCGUCGACAAUUCCAUGAUGCUCUUCAUUGUUCAUGAGUAAUCUCAUCGUAGGCUUGCUGGACGGUGAUGAGUUGGAUGAGAUCUAUCAUUCAAUCAAGUUAGUUCUUGACGGGGAUUGAUCCCUAGUAUCCACUAUGUUCUAGAUUGAUGUUGCUACUACUUGGCUAUGCUUAAUGCUUGUCACUAGGGCUCGAGUGCCAUGACUUCAGAUCUGAACCUAUUAUGUUGUCGCCAAUAUAUGUGUGUUUUAGAUCCUAUCUUGCAAGUUGUAGUCACCUACUAUGUGUUAUGACCCGGCAACUCCGGAGUGACAAUAGCCGGAACCACUCCCGGAGAUGACCAUAGUAUGAGGAGUUCAUGUAUUCACCGCGUGUUAAUGCGUUGGUCCGGUUCUUUAUUAAAAGGAGAACCUUAAUAUCCCGUAGUUUCCAUCAGGACCCCGCUGGCACGGGAGGGAUGAACAAUAGAUGUCAUGCAAGUUCUUUUCCCUAAGCACGUAUGACUACAUACGGAAUACAUGCCUACAUUAGANNNNNNNNNNUAGGACCCCGCUGCCACGGGAGGGAUGGACAAUAGAUGUCAAGCAAGUUCCUUUCCCUAAGCACGUAUGACUACAUACGGAAUACAUGCCUACAUUAGAUUGAUGAACGGGAGCUAGUCACAUAUCUCUCCAUGUUAUAGCUGUUACAUGACGAAUCACAUCCGUCAUACUCAUCCAUCACCGAUCCACUGCCUACGAGUCUUUUACUACUCGUCCUCGCUACGUUACUUUGCCUAGGCUUGUCCCUUGCUACAAAAGGGAUUGGGCCACUUUGUUGCUACUGUUGCUACUGCUGUCACUUUGUUGCUACUGUUGCUACUGCUGUUACUUUGCUGUUGCUGAUACUGCUGUUCCUUGCUACUCCGCUACUUAGUGCAAGACCUUUUCUGGNNNNNNNNNNNNNNNNNNNNNNNNNNNNNNNNNNNNNNNNNNNNNNNNNNNNNNNNNNNNNNNNNNNNNNNNNNNNNNNNNNNNNNNNNNNNNNNNNNNNGGGAGAGGAUCCUCCCCGGCAACGGCGCCAGAAAUUGGCACGUUGAUGGGAGACUAUUCUUGACUUGAUCCUCCUCCCCGGCAAUAGCGCCAGAAAUUGGCACGUUGACGGGAGACUAUUCUUGACUUGAUCCUCCCCGGCAACAUCGCCAGAAAUUCUUCUGCUACGGUGACAGAAAUCCUUCUGUCUUCUCUUGAUCUUGCAUUGGUUUUCCCUUGAAGAGGAAAGGGCGAUGCAGCACAGGAGCAGUAAGUAUUUCCCUCAGUUUGAGAACCAAGGUAUCAAUCCAACAGGAGAAUCGCGUCAAGUCCAGAGUACCUGCACAAACACAAAUGAGCUUGCACCCAACACUAUAAAGGGGUUGUUAAUCCCUUCAAGAUUGAUUGCAAAGUGAGAUCUGAAGGCGGAAAGUGUAUCAAAGUAAAAGAGUAAGGCUGGAAAUAUCGUGUGAAGUAGACCCGGGGGCCAUAGUGUUCACUAGAGGCUUCUCUCAAAAUAGCAAAUAAUAUGGUGGGUGAACAAAUUACUGUCGAGCAAUUGAUAGAACCGCGAAAAGUCAUGACGAUAUCUAAGGCAAUGAUCAUACGUAUAGGCAUCACAUCCGAGACAAGUAGACCGAUACUUUUUGCAUCUACUACUAUUACUCCACACAUCGACCACUAUCCAGCAUACAUCUAGUGUAUUUAGUUCAUGACAAACAGAGUAACGCCUUAAGCAAGAUGACAUGAUGUCGAGGGAUAAACUCAAACUAGUGAUGAAAACCCCAUCUUUUUACCCUUGAUGGCAACAACAUGAUGCGUGCCUCGCUACCCCUUCUGUCACUGGGUGAGGUCACCGCACGGUAUGAACCCAAAACCAAGAACUUCUCCCAUUGCAAGAAUCAUAGAUCAAGUUGGCCAAACAAAACCCACAACCCGAAGAUAAUUACAAGGAUACGAAAUCAUGCAUAUAAGAGAGAUCAGAAGAAACUCGAAUAAGAUUCAUAGAUAAUCUGAUCAUAAAUCCACAAUUCAUCGGAUCUCGACAAACCCACCGCAGAAGAAGAUUACAUUGGAUAGAUCUCCAUGAAGAUCAUGGAGAACUUUGUAUUGAAGAUCCAAGAGAUAGAAGAAGCCAUCUAGCUAAUAGCAAUGGACCCGAAGGUCUAUGGUGAACUACUCACGCAUAAUCGGAGAGGUCAUGGUGUUGAUGAAGAAGCCCUCCGUAUCCGAAUCCCCCUGUCGGCAGGGCACCAGAACGUGCCCUAGAUGGGAUCUUCCAGAGACAGAAGCUUGCGGCGGCGGAAAAGUAUUUUCAUGGAUCUCUUAGGCAGUUUUGGAAAUUUUCUGAAUUUAUAGGCGGAAGAGGUAGGGCAGACGUGCCACAGGGUUGGCCACAAGCUUGCUCGGUGCGGGCCCCCUGGCCGCGCCUAGGGGGCUUGUGGGGUCCCCUGCUGGCCCUUGCCUUGGUCCUCAAGUCUGGCGCGUAUCUUCUGUUCCGGAAAAAAACCUUUUCGGAAGUUUAAUUCCGUUUGGACACCGUUUAAAAUCCUCCUCUGAAAAGGGUCAAAAACAUGGAAAAACAGGAACUGGCACUUGGCACUGAGUUAAUAAGUUAGUCUCAAAAAAUAUAUAAAAGGCAUAGAAAACAUCCAAAGUUUGACAAGAUAAUAGCAUGGAACCAUAAAAAAUUAUAGAUACGUUGGAGAUGUAUCAGAGGGGGAGACCCUGCACAAGUUCAUACAGCGCUUCACGACCAUGCGCCUCAAGAUCCCCAAGGCGUCGUACGAGGCCAUCAUCUCGGCCUUCUCCGACGAAGUCACCGGCCUCAAGAUGAAGGACGAGCUCGCCAUGAGUGAUGAAAUGAGCACUUCACUAAAGAUGUUUAACCUUGCAAACAAGUGUGCCAGGGCUGAAGAAGGUCGCCUGUCGCUCCUCGGCCCCCAGGCGGCAGAACCAGACGAGAAGAAGAAUAAGGCCAAGGAGACGAAGUGCAAGGCUCCGGCGAUGCUCGCAGCCGAGCCUGCGGCGACGCACGGCCGAGGGGGGGAGCAUCCGUUAGGAGGGGGGCCAACGUGCAUCUUCCACGAUACCAGCGUCCAUGAUACCUCUGAGUGCCAGGAGCUCCAACUGGUCUGUGCCGCGAACUUCAGAAGGCGCCCCGGACGGGGAGACAGAGGCCCCGCGCGCGGUGGUGGUCGCAGUCGAGGCCGCUGGGAUGAUCGGGAGCCGCGUCAAGGGUGGCAUGAACAGCCUCAUGAAGACCGUUGGCGCGGCCAACCUCAGGAGGACCGCUGGCGCGACGACCUUCAGGAUGGGCAACGACGCGGUCAGCCUCGUCUGGCUCGCCCUCAUGAGGCUGGGCUGCCUCCGCCACCCAGAAGGAGGGAUGAAGACAUCCAGAAUGAUGGGGCUAGGGGCUUCCAGGAGGUCAGGCGGUGGCCUCCAUCCUGGGUGGCACCCAGACCCCGACCUCGAACCACGCCUUCAAGAAGUUCGCCCGGGAGGUGAAUACUGCUCUUCCAAAGCCUGAAGCGAUGCGCCUCCUCAACUGGUCCCAGACCACCAUCACCUUCAACCCAAGUGAUCAGCUCAGGUGCUCGUUCAUGGCUGGCAAGCUCCCCAUGAUGUGCACCCCGACCAUCAGGAACGUCCUCGUCACCAAGACCCUUAUCGACAGUGGAGCGGGGCUCAACGUCCUCUCGGUCGAGACCUUCGAGACACUCCAGUUGUCGUACAAACAGCUCAUGCCGACCAAGCCCUUCUCAGGAGUCACGGAAGGGUCCACCGUGCCCAUCGGGCAGGUGCGUUUUCCAGUCACCUUCGCCGAGCGCAAGAACUACCACACUAAGAUCAUCAUCUUCGACGUCGCGCACAUCCACCUUCCGUACAACGCGGUCCUUGGCUACCCGGCUCUCGCCUAGUUCAUGGCAGUGACCCACCAUGGUUACAAUGUCAUCAAGAUGCCAGGGAGCGGCGGCGUCAUCACCAUCGCCUGCGACAAGAAGGAUGUCGUCUGUACACUCGAGCGCGCCUACCGCGCCACGGUGGCGGAACGCUCGGACGACGAAGAAGACGAGCCACCUCGCGAGGACCCACGCAAGAAGAAGAAGUAGCUCCUCCCCAUGGAGCUCCCUGGGACUUUGGGCUCCGUGCCCGGGGACGGGGUCAUGCCUCCCAUCUCAUAGGAAGGCGCGCUCAGUGCCCCCCUUGGGUCAAGCCUGGCGGUUCCCACCGGGUAGGUUCCCGGCCUGACCAGUGAGGCGAGGGUCGCCGUCGUUGGCACGGUCGACCGGACCCACAUUUGCAUCAACGCGCUCACAAUCAAGAGUCGCGGCUCAAGGCCCCUUCUGGCCCGCGCGAGCUAACCAUCAGUGGGUGUGCUCCGGUGCCGACACCCUCAUGCCCUUCGGGCUAGGGAACGCGGCUGCUACCUACCGACGACUCCAGCACGCCAUUCCCAUGCCUUGCCUGCUGGGGCAUGGUGAGGAAGAGGAUGAAAUGCUCGGGCCAAGCGAAGGUCCCGGGCCUCGGGAGACGGCGGACCCGUGAGGGUCGUGAUCAUGGAAGCAAGAGAUCGGGUGACGACGGCGCCCUCGGCCCUUCAGCGGCAUGGCUGCCAGGUUAAUUUUUGUUGGCUGCUGCGAGGUAAAUUUUUGGCUGACUCUGUCCGGGGGCGCCCACAGGGCCAUGUGGCCUCCACGAGUUCAGGGCACUCCCCAACCGCCACUUUCGUUUACGCAUCCUUCACUUGUUUCUGUCGCACCCACUUCGAACCCUAACGUUCUACCUUGCUUGCAUCUUUGAGCGGUCGGCCCCCCGCUUGGGGGCUCCGGCCGAAGCUUAUCCUUGCAAGCCUCCUGAGGCAGCAGACACCCUGCCUCACUCUCAAAGAAGAAGUCAGCAGGGUUUACCAAUGACCCAAAAGGAAUCAGGCGCCUAUGCCUCGGGGGUAGGGACACUCGCGAGGCCAAAGCGUCCUCGCGACCUCCCAAAUACACCCCCCUCGUGACACUCUCACGUAAUAACGAGUUGCAGUUGUAUACCCCGGGGCCCCCCGAGGACGCGGAGGGGUCCCUCCCAUGCCUUGUGGCAGCCUAUGCUUCGCGCUAGGGAGAAGACCGUGACACUCUCAUAAUAAUGAGUUGCGGUUGUAUACACCCGGGGGGCCCGAGGACGCGGAGGGCUCCCUCCCACGCCUAGUGGCAGCCCUACGCUCCAUGCUGGGGAGAAGACGGAGGCAAUCAACUCAGUCCGCUAAUGACUAUGCCCGCAGCUGGCAAGGAAAUCAACACAGUCCACCAAUGACUAUGCCCGCAACUGGCAAGGAAAUCAACACAGUCCACCAAUGACUAUGCCCACGGCUGGCCAGGAAUUCAACCCAGUCUACCUACGACUACGCCCACGCCCAGUGCGGGGGACAAACAACUGGAGGUAUGGAUAUGCUCGUAUGUCAAGGAGGACCCCUGAGCAUCGCGACUCAGGGGCCUAACUACGCCCGUAGCCCCUUCCCUCUUGGGCCGUCCUAGAAUCCAGUCGGUUCAACCACAGUGGAGGUACGCGUGGGGCGGGUGCUAUCGACGCAGAGCCUAGUGCGCUCAACAAGCCACUUAAAAUCUCUAAGGGAGAACGCUGGAGUUACUCGUACGUGAAGGGGGACUCCUGAGCAUCGUGACUCAGGAGCCUGAACUGCGCCCGUAGCCCCUUCCCUCUUGGGCCGCCCAAGCGGUCCAACGACGGUGGAGGUACGCAUGGGGCGGGCCCUAACGACGUAGAGUGCUGAAGGAGUUCGGGAGUCUUAAAUUUUUAGUUUCUUAGGAGGGACACUUGGAGUCGCUUGUACGUCAAGGGGGACUCCUGAGCAUCGCGACUGAGGGGCCUAACUGUGCUCGUAGCCCCUUCCCCCUUGGGUCGUCCUGGUAUCCGGUCAGUCCAAUGGCGGCGGAGGUACGUGCGGGGUGGGCCCUACCGACGUAGAGUGCUGAAGGUGUUCUCAAGUUUCAAAAUCCUCGCCACGUUCCCCUCAUGAGGGAUGCUCGCACGUCAAGGGGGCUCCUCAGCAUCGCGACUCAGGCGCCUAACUAAACCCGUAGCCCCUCACCUCUUGGGUCGUCCUGUAAUCCGGUCGGUUCAAUGGCGGCUGAGGUAUGCGCGGGCAGGGACCUGCCGACGCAGAGUCUCACAGCAAAAAUGAAAGAAACAAGGCGAAGAAAACAUUCAGGCAGUCAGCCAGUUAUUACAAGCCUUAACAAAUUCUUGAAAACACAAAAGAAUUGGACGCCUCCACGAGGCACGAUGUGCAUUGCAGGGAAAAACAAGGGGAAGAAAUCAGGAGGAACCGCCACCGCCGGUCGCCCCAUCUUAAGGGGGCUUGUCGUCAGCGUCGGUGGUGUCGUCUUCCCCGCCGUCGGCUUCGGUGGCCUCUGGAGAUGGGGGAACUGCGACGCGGGCGAACCUCUUCACAAACGCCUCCAAGGGGCCCUUCCCCGCCUCUCCAGUGCUGUCACGGGCCUCAGUAGGGACCGGCAGGAUCACGGAGUCGAAGUCAAACCCCGGCUCACAAAGAUGAAGGUGACUGAAGACGCGUGUUGCAGCCUCAGAAAAGAGGUUGCGGCACUCACUGUCCAAGAUCUUGUCCACCUGGAUGACGGCGUCCUCCAACGCCACGGCGAAGCUGCCCUAUGGGGUGGCUAUGGGCUCGUCGAACCUGUCUCGACAGAGGGUGUGGAGCACCGUGCGAAGCCUGAGCUCAACGUCAGGGAAGCCAACCAGCUCCGUGUCCUUCUUCUUCUCGGUUGCGACGAGAGCUUCCCCCUUGGCAUCGAGAAGGGUCAUCUUCGAGGCGAUCUCCUUCUCCUGCUCCUCCAAGCAUGCAUGCUUCGUUCCCAGGCAAGUUUCCUCCUGGGAUAGCUUUUCUUCCUGCGCGGUGAGCUUGGUUUUGCAGGCCUCGAGUUCUUCCUCCCACACGCGAAGCUGCUCGGCUAGCUUGUCUUGUUCUUCUUGGAAGGCCUUCAGGCGAGCCUCCACCUCUUCGCAGCAUUUCGCAGCCGCCGCAGCUCCUUUCAUCGUCUCCUCGCGCGCGGCGCGAGCGGAUUUGAAUUCCUUCAUCACCUCCUCACGAGCAAUGCGAGUGGAUUCGGCUUCCUCCAGCGCCUCCUCGCGCGCAGCGCGAGCGGCCUUGGCCUCCUUCUCACCCUCCGCCAUCACGACCACGACCUUGCACAGGGCAUCGAAGGCCUUGUUCAGGACGCUCUGGACGUAUACCAGAGUCCUCUGGAUCUCCCCCUGAGGACCCUCUAGUGCUGUCACGGGCGGUGUCGUCACGGAGGCAGCGUCACGAGGGACAGGGGGCUCCGAAGGUUGCUCGGAGAUUGUGAGCAUUGGCGCAUCAGUGGACUGAGGGCCCAUAAGAGCCUGCCCCUCGAGCAGCGGCGCCUCCACGACCGCCUCAGGACGCUUCGGGGGCUCGGGGGGCUCGGCGACCAUGGCUUGAGAGGUCGCCUCGCGAGCCUCCCCUUCUUCAUCGGCAGGCGGCGAUGCGUCGGGGAGGACCGUCGAUGCGUCAGGAGUCGCCUUCGGCUUGACGCACGCCUUCUUCUCCUUCGCCCCCAACGAGGCAACGCCUGUGGACAUCGGACAUAAAGGGAAUCAGCCAUGCACGGACGAGGACGCGCGGGGCGUGCCAAGACGAGUCACUUACUAUUCGAUGUCGACACAUCUCCUCUUCCUCUCCGCCCCGGCGAUGGCAGGGGUGACAGGGGCCCCCACAGAGGGGGCGAGCCCGGCGCCUCAGACUUCUCGCCGGCGGAGGCAGGAUGCGCCAAGGUCGACUCAGACCCGUGCUUUCGUAGGGCGAGCACGCAUGCGGACCGCAUGGCGCUGGGCCAACGCGGGUCCCCUGGAGAUCCUGGCCAGGCGCGAGGAGAUCACCGCAGAGACUUCUCCGGUGGCAUCAUCAUCUUCAAGCUCGCACAGAAGGAUGGCCCAUGACAGGAGAGGCACGCUCAACGGGCAGUCGUCGACGGUCUUCUCCGAGUCCUCCUCACCAAAGGUGUCGUUCGAUGACACCUCUACCGAACCAGAGCCCUCGGCCUGGAAGAGCCCCCGCUCAUCAAAGACAAGCAGCACGGCGAUCAGGUCGGCCCGAUCGUCGAGACGGUACAGCAGACCCAGAGCCUCGGGCAAGUCACCAGGGUCACCGCCCAGCAAGGUUGCCAUGACCCUGUUCAACUCCUCAGUAGGAAGGUCCUCGGAUCGGAGCCUGAGCUUGUCGUCAUCAGACUGGUAGUCCCACAAGGGCCUGGAAUGGGCCUGAAGGGGCGCCAGGCGUUGCGCCAAGAAUUCCUUCACUAUCAUCCCACGAGUCAUCCUCUUGGCGCUGAUGUCGUGGGAGAAGCGCUCCAGGAUGGGCAUGGCCCGAGGGUCAUAGAGCUUCAUUGAGCUCCACGCAGAAGUCUUCUCCGAUAGCCCCUUUGGCACCUUCAGUCGAGGGUUGGCGUCCUUGAGGCUCAUGAGAACCCAAUGGUGCCUGAAGUUUUCCACCUUCUUCCCAGCCUUCAGGAGCAAAUUGUCGCCCUGGGCCACUAUAAAGGAGAUGCAUGCCGACAAAUGGGCGUCCUCGUGCACGCGCGAGCUGAAGAAAUGGUGGAAGAGGGCUACUGAAGGCCGCACGCCUAUGAAGGCCUCACAGUAGAAAGCAAAGACGGUCAGGAGCAAGAUGGAGUUGGGUUGGAGGUGAAGGGCCUGGAUCUCGUAGUGGUUUAGGAUGGCGGUGAAGAACGAGGAGAAAGGCGGCACCAGCCCAGCGAAGAUGCUAUGGAGGAAGAAGGGGUAUACUGCCUUCGACGUGGGAUGCUUUGUUGUAGCGCUAGGCUAGAUGAAGGUCCGCCCGUGCUCGCUGGACUCGGCCGCCAUACAUGGGAGCACGGAGGUAAGAUCCACAUCCUUGGAGAAGGCGCACUCUAGGAGCGGAGGAGAUGGGGCUGGACCUUGCAUCUUUGGCCUCUACUUGCCAGCGGGCGCCAUCGCUGAACCGACAAGGGAACGACACGGUGCUGGAUCUGGGGGACGUGAGUUGUUGUUUGAGACCGAGGAGGAAGAGCGAGUGCGGGAGAAAGGAAAGAAAUAAUGGACCGACGCAACGAGUCAGGUUCCUAAUAGCUCGGGUGGAGACAGAAGGCAAGGGAGACCCGACAUCAGCCACGUGAUGCGCACCGGCCUAGCCCACACGCAUUUAGGACCCGUGUCGCUUGAUAACCCACAAGUAUAGGGGAUCGCAACAGUUUUCGAGGGUAGAGUAUUCAACCAAAAUUUGUUGAUUCGACACAAGGGGAAGCCAAAGAAUAUUCUCGAGUAUUAGCAAUUGAGUUGUCAAUUCAACCACACCUGAAAGGCUUAGUAUCUGCAGCAAAGUUUCAGUAACAGAGUAAUGUGAUAGUAACGAUAACAGUAGCAGUAGUGACAGCAGUAGCGGUAACAGUAGCAGCAGUGACAGCAGUAGUGGUAAAGUAACGUAGCAAGGACCAGUAGGAAAAUACUCGUAUGCAUUGGAUCGGUGAUGGAUAAUUAUGUCGUAUGACAUUCAUCAUGUAUCAGUUAUAACAUGGGAUGAUUUCUAACUAGCUCCAGUUCGUCAAUGUAUUGUAGGCAUGUAAUCCGUAUAUAGUCAUACGUGCUUAUGGAAAAGAACUUGCAUGACAUCUAUUGUCCAUCCCUCCCGCGGCAGCGGGGUCCUAAUGGAAACUAAGAGAUAUUAAGGUCUCCUUUUAAUAGAGAACCGGAACAAAACAUUAGCACUUAGUGAAUACAUGAACUCCUCAUACUAUGGUCAUCUCCGGGAGUGGUUCCGGCUAUUGUCACUCCGGGGUUGCCGGGUCAUAACACAUAGUAGGUGACUACAACUUGCAAGAUAGGAUCCAGAACUCACAUAUAUUGAUGAAAACAUAAUAGGUUCCGAUCUGAAAUCAUGGCACUCGGGCCCGAGUGACAAGCAUUAAGCAUAGCAAAGUAGUAGCAACAUCAAUCUCAGAACAUAGUGGAUACUAGGGAUCAAACCCCAUCAAAACUAACUCGAUUACAUGAUAGAUCUCAUCCAACCCAUCACCGUCUAGCAAGCCUACGAUGAGAUUACUCACGAACAAUGAAGAGCAUCAUGGAAUUGGCGAUGAAGGAUGGUUGGUGAUGACCACGGCGUCGAUUUCCCCUCUUCGGAGCCAAGAACGGACUCUGGAUCUGCCCUCCAGAGGAAGAACGGGUGGUGGCGGCGGCUCCGUAUUGUAAAACGCGAUGAACUCUUCUCUCUUAAUUUUUUUGGGCGAGAGAGACUAUAUAGAGAUGGAGUUGAAGGCGGCGGAGCCAUGAGGGCCUCGCAAGCCUGCGAGGCGCGGCCAGGGGGUCCGCGCCUCCUGGGCUUGUGGGCUCGUGGCUCCAUCCCUCCACGUAAUUCUUGCGCGAGUAUUUUUUAUAUAUUCCACAAAAAAUCCUCGUAAAUUUCCAGGUCAUUCCGAGAACUUUUAUUUAUGCGCAAAAACAACACCAUGGCAAUUCGGCUGAAAACAGCGUCAGUCCGGGUUAGUUCCAUUCAAAUCAUGCAAAUUAGAGUCCAAAACAAGGGCAAAAGAGUCUGGAAACGUAGAUACGAUGGAGAUGUAUCAACUCGCCCGAGCUUAAAGCCUUGCUUGUCCUCAAGCAAUUCAGUUGACAAACUGAAAGAGACAAAAGAUAAACUUUUAUGAACUCUGUUUGAUCUUCUUGCUGUAAUUAUGUCUAACUCAUAUUCAGAUUUUCAGCAAGAUCAUAAGCUACCACAUAAGCAAUGACAUUUAGGUCUCAUGGUAAACUCAUAUCAAUGGAAAAAAUCAACUAGCGAGCAAUAAUAAUAAGUUUCAAAUGUCAACACUUCAAUCAAAACAAUCAUGAAGCAAUAUGAACAGAUGGUAUCUCGCUAGCUCUUUCUGAGACCGCAAAACAUAAAUGCAGAGCACCUUCAAAGACCAAGGGCUGACUGAACAUUGUAAUUCAUGGCAAAGAAGAUCCAGUCACAGUCAUACUCAAUAUCAAUUAAUAGCAAAGCAUAAAAAUGACGAAGGUGCUCUCUAACUUGUGCCUUUUAUAAGAAGAGGAUGACUCAACAGAAACAUAAAUAGAUAGGCCCUUCGCAGAGGGAAGCAUUGAUUUCCAGAGGUGCGAGAGCUCAAGCUUUGAAGACAAAGAUAAAUAAUUUUGGGUGGCAUGCUUUCAUUAUCAACACAAUGACAAAGAGUUUUCACCAUCUUCCAUGCUACACAUAUUAUAGGCGGUUCCCAAACAGAAACGUAAAGUUUUGACUCCCCCACCACCGAUCAAUCACAUUCCACGACUAGCCGAAUCCUCGGGUGCCGUCCAUACCAACAACAAUCCAGGGGGAGUUUUGUUUUCAAUUAUCUUUUCGAUUUGAGCAUGGAACUGGGAAUGCCAAUUACCGGCCCCUUUCUCGUGAGUGAUAGUGAAUAAACAUGUAUCGAGGAUAAAACGCCUAGCAUGGAAGAUACUGGCCGCCCCUUGUCACCACAUGAGCGGUUCGGGCAUACAAAACAGAUUAUUUCUUGAAGAUUUAGAGAGUGGCACAUGCAAAUUUACUUGGAACAGCAGGUAGAUACCGCAUAUAGGUAGGUACGGUGGACUCAUAUGGAAUAACUUUGGGUUUAUGGAAGUGGAUGCACAAGCAGUAUUCCCGCUUAGUACAAGUGAAGGCUAGCAAAAGACUAGGAAGUGACCAACUAGAGGGCGACAACAGUCAUCAAUAUGCAUUGAAAUUAACCAACAUUGAGUCCAAGCAUGAGUAGGACAUAAAUCACCAUAAACAUGAAUAUCAUAGAGGUUAUGUUGAUUUUGUUUCAACUACAUGCAUAAACAUGCGCCAAGUCAAGCCACUUGAAUCAUUCAAAGGAGGAUACCAUCCUAUCAUACUACAUCGUAAUCAUCUUGAAAUUCAUGUUGGCAUCCAAGACAAACCAUUAUAAGCUCCUAGCUAAUUAAGCAUGGCAUCAGAAACUAUGAUCUCUAAGUUUUCAUUGCAAACAUGUUUCUCUCAUAACAAAGCUGAAUUAGGAACGAUGAGAAAGUCAUAUUUACAAAAACAAAAUAGGUCGAGUUCAUACCAGCUUUUCCAGGCUCAAUCACUUUAUCAUAUAUCGUCAUUAUUGCCUUUCAUUUGCAUGACCGAAUGAUGUGAAUCAUAAUGAGAGUGUUCGUGCAUUGGACUAAGCUGGAAUCUGCAAGCAAACUCAAAGGAGAAGACAAAGUAAUAUGGCUCUUUGACAAAUAAACAAAUAUGCAUGUGAGAGCCACUAAACAUUUUAACCAUGGUCUUCUACCUUGACCCAAAGAAAAAGAAAACUAUUUACUCGGGAAAGCUCCCAACAAGCAAAAGAAGAAAGAGAAAUAUUUUUGGGUUUUCUUUUUAAACACCACUAAGCAAGCUCGAAAGUAAACUUACAACUAAUUUUUUUUGUUUUUCUCAAACUAGACAAACACACGAGAAUAAAGCGAGAAAAAGAAAUAACUAGCAUGGAUGAUACAGUGGCAAGGUGUGAGCACCGACUAUCAAAGUGAAAGUGUGAGCAUGAAUAUAAAGUCGGUGAGAAAUACGUACUCCCCUAAGAUUAGGCUUUUGGCCUAAGUUGGUCUAUUCCCAUGUAGGGAAAUAACCGUCUCCGGGGUACUCCGGAGUGUACUGAGGGUGCCACUGCUGGGUGAGCUCCUCUGGCUCCCACUGAUAAACUAGUGUAUGGUACUCGACUGGUAGCUUGGGCACGGGCGCCUGUUGUGGUGCUAUGCCCCAAUAUGCGUAGAUGUCCAAGGGCAUAAUAAUGUACCGCCUAGAUGAAGAUUGAACAAAGAAGGAGCAGGCAAAGUAAUAGUCUCACGAGUACCCUGACUAAAUACCAGGUUAUAAAUCAUCCUCUUAUUUAUAUCUUUAUCAAGAAAGUCAUGGCGAACCAUGCUAUCAUAAUCUAGAUAUCUUUCACGAAGAAGCAUCUCUUCUUCCUCGUACAGUCUAAUAGGUAUCUCGGAAUGUUUAGCAAGACGGGUAGCAUAGAUACUUCCAUAAACAACGCCUUUAGUACGGUUCAUGUUCAACCGUUGAGCCACUAUAGAGCCCAAGCUAUAAGUUUUAUCAUUAUAAAGAGCUUCGCGCAAACCGCAAGAUCUGGGGAGCUAAGAGCCCCAGCUUUCCCACAGCCAAUCAAACAUUUUCCCACGAAUAAUGAGAGAUAUCGAAGCACGGAAAAUGUACACUAGCAACUCUAGAGCAAGACACUCCUCUCUCCUCUCCUACAGCAAUAGUAUCAAUGAAAGCCUCCAAGUUCUGUGGACGAGGUUCAUGAAUAUCCCCAACAUAAGGUAAUUCGCAAACAUUGCAAAAAUCCUGAAGUGACAUGCGCUGGGGGAUAUCAUAUAACUUGAACUCAACCAUAGGAGGACUCUUCCUUGGAUAGAAAUUAAAGCUUUGCAUGAAAAUAUUAGUGAGGAGGAGGUAUUGUGGACACUUAUCUUCAACAAAAGCGGUAAGGUCUGUGUUCUCCACCAAGUAAUAAAAAUCCUCAUAAAGACCGGCGGCACGUAAGAACACAUCGCUUGGCCACUCGCACACUCGAACUUCUGCAACUCGGGGGACCAGAUACUUGGGUUUCUUCUUCUCAUUGUCAUCUUCCUUGGGGUCAUGGCUUGAAGAGCCUCUUAGGAACCUCCUCAUCAUUUCCUUUUUCUUUCUCAAGGAACAAUCCCCCAUAACAGUUUGGUGAAUGGGGCUUUGCACAAGGAGAUCGAAAAAUGCAGCAAGAAGAGCAAGAACACGGGUUUGAGCUGUGGAAUGAUUUUUUAUGGAGGUAGAAGAAGGAGAUGGGAGCUAGAAUAAGUGGAGGGGGCCACGUGGGGCCCACAAGCCUGACAGGCGCGGCCACGGGGGUGCCCUCGCCUCCUGGGCUUGUGGCCCACUGGUGCAUCCCCCUGACUAGCUCUCUAUCUCAGAAUUUUUCAAAAAUUCCAGAAAAAAUCAUACUAGAAUUUCAGGGCAUUUGAAGAACUUUUAUUUUCGGGACACUUUUCUAUGGGACGGAAAAAAAGCACAAAACAGGAAAAAUAAAGCUAAAUUUAUCAUUUUUCUUCUAAGCAACAGAAAAUAAAAGUUUGGAACAGAAGGUUUUGACUCCUAGAUUCAUCCAUCUCAUGGCAUCAAAACAAAUCCGUAAAUGAGGUUGAUCAAGUCUCCUUGACAAACAUUUUUCGAAUCACAUAAAACCGGAGAAUUUUUGAAUAAUCACUAGGUUACCUCAAUGAGGAUGUGCAUAUCCCCAACAAGUAAAUCAUACUUCAUAUUGACAGUAGGUAUAGGGCAUUCAAAGCUUCCAAUAAGAAUUAAUGAAGUUUUUUCAAUAGCAUUGAUACAAUGAACUCGAUAUUGUUUCUUCGGAAAGUGCACCGUAUGCUCAUUACCAUUAACAUGGAAAGUGACAUUGCCUUUGUUGCAAUCAAUAACAGCCCCUGCAGUGUUUAAAAAGGGUCUUCCAAGGAUGACCUCCAUGGCAUCAUCCUCGGGAAUAUCCAGAAUAACAAAGUUCGUUAAGAUAGUAAUGUUAGCAACCACAACAGGCACAUCCUCGCAAAUGUCGAUAGGGAAAGCAGUUGAUUUGUCGGCCAUUUGCAAAGACAUUUCAGUGGCUGUCAACUUUUCCAAUUCAAGUUUACGAUAAAGAGAGAGAGGCAUAACACUAACACCAGCUCCAAGAUCGCAUAAAGCAGUUCUAACAGCAUUUCCUUUAAUGGAGAAAGGUAUAGUGGGCACUCCGGGAUCACCUAGUUUCUUAGGCCACCCUUGAAGGUGUAAUUAGCAAGCAUGGUGGAAAUCUCAACCUCAGGUAUCCUCCUUUUAUUAGUCACUAUAUCUUUCAUGUACUUACCAUAAGGAGACAUUUUGAGCAUAUCUGUCAAACGCAUUUGCAGAAAGACGGGUCUAAUCAUUUCAACAAAGCGCUGAAAAUCCUCAUCAUCCUUUUUCAUGGAUUGUUUGGGAGGAAAGGGCAUGGGUUUCCGAACCCAUGGUUCUCUUUCUUUACCAUGCUUCCUAGCAAUGAAGUCGUUCUUAUCAUAUCUCCUAUUCUUAGGUUGUGGGUUAUCAAGAUCAACAGGUUGAAUCUCCACAUCCUUAUCGUUACUAGGUUGAGCAUCAAAAUGAACACCACUAUCGAUAUUAUCACUAGGCUCAUGUUCAUCACCAGAUUGUGUUUCGGCAUCAGAAACAGAGAUAUCAUUUGGAUUCUCAGGUGUAACAGCAGCAGGUUUGCUAGCAUGCAAGUUCCUAUCAUCUUUCUUUUUCUUCCUAAUACCAGGAUGACUAGGUGCAUCAGUGUUAACUCCUUGAGAAUCUUGUUCAAUUCUCUUAGGAUGACCCUUAGGAUACAAAGGUUCCUGGGUCAUUCUACCACCUCUAGUGACAACUCUAACAGACUUGUCAUUCAACUCAUUGAGAAAGUCAUUUUGAGCCUUAAGUACUUGUUCUACUUGACUAGUGACCAUAGAGGCAUGUUUACUCAAAAGCUUAAGAUCAUUGACAUUUCUAUCCACACAAGCACUUAUAUGACUAAUCAUGCGAGCAUUUUGUUCCAAAUGUCUGCUAACAUAAUCAUUGAAACUUGGUUGUUUGGCAACGAAGUUAUCAAAUUCAUCUAAUUAUAAGCUAGCAGGUUUAUCAUAAGGAAUAUCACUCUCAUUGAAUCUACGAAGAGAAUUUACCUCUACUACCUGUGUCGAGUUAUCAAGACCAUAUAUUUCUUCAAUAGGUGGUAGAUUCUUAACAUCUUCAGAUUUAAUACCUUUCUCUUGCAUAGAUUUCUUGGCUUCUUGCAUAUCUUCAGGACUGAGGAAUAGAAUACCUCUUUUCUUCGGAGUUGGCUUCGGAGGUGGUUCGGGAAUAGUCCAAGUAUUAUCAUUGCUCAAGAUAUUAUUCAAUAGAAUUUCACCUUGUUCCACAGUUCGUUCCCUGAAAACACAACCAGCACAACUAUCUAGGUGGUCCCUAGAAGCAUCGGUUAAUCCAUUGUAAAAGAUAUCAAGUAUUUCAUUUUUCUCAAGAGAGUGAUGAGGCAAAGCAUUAAGUAGCUGGACAAGCCUCCCCCAAGCUUGUGGGAGACUCUCUUCUUCAACUUGCACCAAGUUAUGUAUAUAUCCUGCAAGGCAGCUUGUUUCUUAUGGGUAGGAAAAUAUUUCUCAGAGAAGUAGUAGAUCAUAUCCUGGGGACUACGCUCACAACCAGGAGCAAGAGAAGUAAACCAAGUCUUAGCAUCACCCUUUAGUGAGAAAGGAAACAACUUAAGGAUAUAGUAGUGGCGGAUCUUUUCCUCACUCGUAAAUAGGGUGGCUAUAUCGUGCAUUUUGGUAAGAUGUGCUACAACCGUUUCAGACUCAUAACCAUGAAAAGGAUCAUAUUCGACCAAAGUGAUUAACUCAGGAUCGACAGAGAAUUCAUAAUCCUUAUCAGUAACAAAGAUAGGCGAAAUAGCAAACUUAGGAUCAUAUUUCAUUCUAGCGUUCAAAGAUUUUUCUUUCCACUUGCGCAAUAAAUUCUCAAGAUCAUAGCUAUCCUUACAAGCAAGAAAGUCCUCAGCUACCUCUCCCUCCAUAACAUAACCCUCAGGUAUAUCAGGCAAUUCAUAUCUAGGAGAGCUAGUUCUAACAGGUGAAACAGCAGGUUCUACUUCAAUAAUUUCAACAGUUUCAGAAGUAUCAUCACAUUCAGCAGCAACUCUAGCAAUUUUUGCAUUAAGGAAUGCACCUAGUGGCAAAGCAGUAUCAAGCAAAGCAUCAUCAUAAGCAUCAUGGAUAGCAUAAGUAGCCUCAUCAAGCACAUGCGACACAUCAGAAUUUCUAGUAGGUGGUGGUGUCGCAAACUUACUCAUAACUGAAGGUGAAUCAAGUGCAGAGCUAGACGGCAGUUCCUUACCUGUCCUCGUAGUUGAGGGCAAGACUUUAGUUUUUGGAUCUCUCGGAUUCCUCAUAGUGAUCAACAGACGUAAAUCCCAAGUGAAUCAGAGAAUAGAGCUAGGCCUCCCAGGCAACGACGCCAGAAAAUAGUCUUGAUAACCCACAAGUAUAGGGGAUCGCAAGAGUUUUCGAGGGUAGAGUAUUCAACCCAAAUUUGUUGAUUCAACACAAGGGAAAUCCAAAGAAUAUUCUCAAGUAUUAGUAGUUGACUUGUUAACUCAACCACACCUGAAAGACUAAGUAUCUGCAGCAAAGUUUCAGUAACAGAGUAGUGUGAUAGUAACGGUAGCAGCGGUAACAGUAGCAGUAGUGACAACAGUAGCGGUAACAGUAGCAGUAGUGACAGCAGUUGCGGUAAAGUAACGUAGCAAGGACCAGUAGGAAAAGACUCGUAAGCAUUGGAUAGGUGAUGGAUAAUUAUGUCGGAUGACAUUCAUCAUGUAUGAGUUAUAACAUGGGAUGAUUUGUAACUAGCACUAGUUCGUCAAUGUAAUGUAGGCAUGUAAUCCGUAUAUAGUCAUACGUGCUUAUGGAAAAGAACUUGCAUGACAUCUAUUGUCCAUCCCUCCUGUGGAAGCGGGGUCCUAAUGGAAACUAAGGGAUAUUAAGGUCUCCUUUUAAUACAGAACCGGAACAAAGCAUUAGCACUUAGUGAACACAUGAACUCCUCAUACUAUGGUCAUCUCCAGGAGUGGUUCCGGCUAUUGUCACUCCGGGGUUGCCGGGUCAUAACACAUAGUAGGUGACUACAACUUGCAAGAUAGGAUCAAGAACUCACAUAUAUUGAUGAAAACAUAAUAGGUUCAGAUCUGAAAUCAUGGCACUCGGGCCCUAGUGACAAGCAUUAAGCAUAGCAAAGUAGUAGCAACAUCAAUCUCAGAACAUACUGGAUACUAGGGAUCAAAUCCCAUCAAAACUAACUCGAUUACAUGAUAGAUCUCAUCCAACCCAUCACUGUCCAGCAAGCCUACGAUGAGAUUACUCACAAAUGAUGAAGAGCAUCAUGGAAUUGGUGAUGAAGGAUGGUUGGUGAUGACGACGGCGUCGAUUUCCCCUCUCCGGAGCCCAGAACGGACUCCGGAUCUGCCCUCCAAAGGAAGGACAAGUGGUGGCGGUGGAUCCGUAUCGUAAAACGCGAUGAACUCUUCUGUCUUAAUUUUUCUGGGCGAGAGAGACUAUAUAGAGCUGGAGUUGGAAGCGGCAGAGCCACGAGGGCCUCACAAGCCUGCCAGGCAUGGCGAGGGGGGUCGCGCCUCCUUGGCUUGUGGGCUCCUGGCUCUGUCCCACCAGGAAAUUCUUGCGCCAGUAUUUUUAUAUAUUCCACAAAAAAUCCUCGUAAAUUUCCAGGUCAUUCCGAGAACUUCUAUUUCUGCGCAAAAACAACACCAUGGCAAUUCUGCUGAAAACAGCGUCAGUCUGGGUUAGUUCCAUUCAAAUCAUGCAAAUUAGAGUCCAAAACAAGGGAAAAAGAGUUUGGAAAAGUAGAUAUGAUGGAGACGUAUCAUCGCCUCAGACCGCCCCCAAGGCUUCGCCUAGAGGCCGGCACGAGCACGCAUUGGGCCCGGGGGCUACUAUCGGCGUUCUGGGAAUGGGGGUACCCAGACUUGCCUACCUGUGGCCCAGGGCUGACCCACUUCACCAAGAAAGCACAAUCAGGUGCGGCACCACUCAAGGCAAGGUCCUCGCGAGGGUCCAAGCCUCGCGAGGAGGAACAGCCUCCAGACCCGCAGGGGGCUCAUCAGGACCCCUUCGGAGCGGCGGAUAUUCUGAGGCGAGACCCGACCUCAAGAGUCAAGGAUGACGUGGAGGAAGGACAGGCGAGUAGCACACAGCAGGACGGAGCAUUUUCCCCUUUAGUGCAAAAGGGGGAAGGAUGAACCGGGGUUCCCAAGGCAUCUUCCAAAGCUUCCCUUUCUGGUGCAACAAGGCCAUCACUACCUGCCAGCAGGACAGACGUCAUCCCUGGACACGUCCCUACAGCGCUGGCAGCCACUUCGGAGGCGAAGACCACCUUUGGGCAAGGGAGCAUGAUCCCCUGUUCCCCCUCAAAAUUAGUCGUUGUGGAAUCCCUUCUCGCCAAAACGAUAAGGGAAGAGGACCGGUGUGACAUCCUCGACUUUUGCAACAUUAAUUAUUGUAAUUAAGCUACAGUGAUCACCCUCGGUAAUGAUGCCACAUCAUCGAGAAUUCCCAUCUCAGACCCGUGUUGAUUCGAGUCUGUCCGGAUCCAAAAUUUGAAAGCAAAAGAAAAAGUACUUUAUAAGUUCAUUACAAAUUUUAAAAGAAUAUGUUUAUGAAAGAAAGAAUUAAAAGUAUGUAUAAUAAAUUGUAAAAGAAAGUAUAAUAAAAGAAAGUAUUUAAAAAUAAAAAUCAAAUAGUAAAAUAAAUAAUGAAAGAAAGAAAUAAUAGAAAAGGGAAAAGGCAAAAUAAAACAAAACGAAAAAAAAAGGAAAAAGCAACCCCCCACCCCCUGGUCUAGCUGGGCCAAGAGGCCCAACCGGCCAGGCCCCCAAAUCGCCCCCACCCAAACCCUAGAGCCCCCCCUCGGCGGCAGGCCACCCCCCCUCGCUACUCCCUCCUCCCACCGAGCGCCGCCAGCGCCCUCCACGCUCCCCCUCGGCCCCACCCCCACCGACGCACUGCCCCACCCACCCACGCUCUCUCUCUCUCCCGUAACCCUCCCCCACGAGAGCCCCCUCUCUCGGUCCUCUCCCCACCCCACCGACACAUCUCUCCCUCCCACGACGCCAGAUCCCCCUCCUCUCCCACGUCGCCUCGCCCUCCUCUCCCGUAACUCCCGUCGCCCCCAGAUCCCUCCUCCCGGCCGGCGAGCCCCCACGGCCUCCUCCCUCCACCGACCCUCCUCNCCCCCACCUCCACCGCGCUGGCCAGCAGCACCACCUCGGCCCUCCAACCUCGCCGGCCUACCACCCGCCGCCCCCGUCGGCCUUCUCCCGCUCGGUCCAGGAGGGACCGGGCAGGGAGACAUCUCCACCUCGCCGGAUCCGGCCGGCUCCCCCUCGCCGGCGCGUCAUCACCAUCAUCACCGUCCCCUUCACCACUGGAACCACACCGUCUCCUCCGCCCCUUCCCGCGAACUCCGGCUUCACCGGCCCCUCCCGUCAACGUCGGUGAGCCCCUCCUCGGGCUCCUCCCACCAUGUCGUUCUCCUCGCCGCCCCGGUUCCGUUCCGGCAAACGGGACCCCGAUCCGUCGACGGUAGACUCCGGUAGGAAGGAUUGAACUUUUGGUUCUUCUAGGUGGAGUUAGCAGAGAGUUGUUCAUUGUCUGUUAAGAGAGAGAGAGAGAUGAGUGUUGAGAGAGAAAAGUAAAUAAAAACAAAUGUUGUAUUCCGUAUGUAUGUAUGUAUGUAUGUAUUUGAUACCCGUAUUUAUGUAUGUAUUGCGUAUAUAAAUAUUGGAGGAAUACGAUAUUUGCAUGUUUAUAUCUAUGGAAAAAAUCGAGUAUAUGGCCGAUGUCACUUACCGAUGGGGCCAUACCUCCACACCCACUUACAGGGAGGCCCCACACUCGCUUUGAAGAAAAUGGAAAUUAAAAUAUAAAUAAUAGCAAUAUAUGUUUUUUAUUAAAUAAAUAAAUAAAUAGAUAUAAUAAUUAAUUAAUGAGUCAAUGAAUUAGUUAAAUAAAUAUAUAAGUUAAUCUGUUAAUUAGAAUAAUUAAUUAACAUAAUGAGAGAAUGCCACGUGGGUCCCUCAUUAAAUUAAUCUGAUUAAAUAAUAUUUAAUCUUAAAUAAAACUUGUGCCUAUGACGUUCGGGACCCGCUGGUCAGUUGACCAGUCAAAUGUUGAUAUCAGCAUGACAUCGUGAUGAUGUCAUAAUGGGAUUUUAUUAAAAUAGCUAAAUCUGUUUUUAAUUCCUAAAUAAUUAAUAAAACUUUAAAAAUUAAUAUUAAAUAAUCCGUAAGUCAGAUCAAAAUAUUUUCAACAUGAAAGUUGAUCAGCAGAUCGAGACGAACCCGGAUACACGGCCCGUUCGUCUGUCACGCGUCCCUAGCAUAGCAAACUUGGAACUUUUCCUCCGUUUCCAGUGUAACCUGUAGUAGCCCGAGACCCGGAAAAUAUCGUCAGAUAUUCUUCCGACCCGUCUAUGACGGAUGUUGCUGCGUUAGCUCAUGUCUAGCCUGCAUCUUUCCAUGUCAUGCUUUGUGUUGCAUCGGUGCUAUUUAUUUAUUGUUUCUUCCCCCUCUUCUUACCGGUAGACCCCGAGACUGACGCUGCUGCCGGGUACAUCUACAACCCUGCCGAUCAGUCCUUUGCCGCAGAGCAGCAAGGCAAGCAAAUUCCCCUUGAUCAUUCCUAUAUCGCCUAUGUCUUUCUUUCUACUGCUUGCAUUAGUAUUUUUGCUACUGUUGUAGUUAGCUCCUAUAUUUGAUGCAUAGCCUAUUUUUGAUGAACUGCUACUUUCAGUCCUGUACCUUUAAUCUCCUUAGUAUAGGUGGAGCAGUCAUCCCCUCUGACCCCGUAGUUCAGUUGCCCCGCUUGUUUUCAAUUCUCGAUCUCUGAUCGACGAGCCAGACCCGACACAGCACAUUCACCCCCUUCGUUGUACGACGCUACAGAGAUACUAUCGGGUACCGAGGGUGACACCUCGCUAAGUACUCCUGAUGAUAUAUCUGUAGUAUAGCUAGUCGGUCGUGGUUAUCGAGGGUGAUUCCUCUUUCACCAUUCCCGAUGACGCCUCUGUCGUCCAACCCCGCGAGUGUGGGACCCCCGAGGGUGAUUCCUCUAAGCCCACCUUGACGGGUACAUCGUUCGGUGUCCAACGAGGGUGAUACCUCGGACCCCCCCCCCCGAUGUUACAACCACACAGUUACUCGACCAUGUUACUGGGAUCAUGGGUGAUUAGUUGUAAGACGGGUGGAUUCCCGUGAGACUGUGUUGAUGGCCUAAUUAAAAUGCUAAUGGAUUUGGGUAUUUGAUCUGGGUUGGUCGGAGACCUUUUCGCACUAACCGGCUACGCGGGAAGAAUUAUGGGUACUCGGCGUCGCGGUAUCAGCCGAAGCUUUUCAGAUGCCAGCAAUGUAGCGGCGCGCGCCCGAGUGGUCCCGAGAUGCAUCGCGCUUGUGAUUAAGGGAUGCUAGGACUGACGUCGGCCGCCCACGCCACGUGCAGGAGCGUGAAGGGGAACUGGGCCCACGAACCCUUUGUGCUUAGGAUUUAGACCGGCGGGCUGGCCUCUCUGAUUAGUCUUAGGUGGGGCUUCGACGUGUCGAUAUUCCGAGGCCGGGCAGGACCCAGAAAAGUAUGUCCGGCCAGAGUGUUAUCGAGCGUGACGGGACAUGUGGUGCACCCCUGCAGGGAUGAAAAUUAACUAUUCGGAUAGCCGUGUCCACGGUUACAGGACGACUUGGAGUUGUGCCCCGAUCUUUUACAACUACAAUUGUUACUUAACUGGAAUUAGUUUGCCUCGGGAUUGCUUCCUCGCAGGGAGUCGAGGGAGGAUCUUUAGGCGUGACCUCACUUUAAUAUUGUUGUAACAAUAUGACUAUUUAUGUUUUACCCCCUGUUCUACUCUCGUCUAUUGCUGCAAGACCCUGAAGAUGCUAGUCUUCGCUAGGACUAGGCCUUCUCUCUCUAUUCUCGCAUUGUUGUAGUCAGCCCACAUAUAACCCCCUUCUUUGAUACUGAUGCAUAAUUAGAAUAGUUCUGAUGUAAGACUUGCGAGUACUUUGGAUGAGUACUCACCGCUGCUUUGCUCCCCCCUUGUCCCCUUGAUCCGUUUGCUGCGACCAGAUGAUGGUGCCCAGGAGAUGGAGAUCCCCGCCGCCGACGACUGCUACCCCGACGGUGCCUACUACUACGUGGAGGCCGCUGAUGAUCAGGAGUAGUUAGGAGGUUCCCAGGCAGGAGGCCUCGCCUCGUUCGAUCGUUGUAUCUUUUGUGCUAGCCUUCUCUAAGGCACCCCAUGUUUUAUGUCUGUACUCAGAUAUCUGUUGCUUCCGCUGACUCGUGUGUUUAUCGAGCUUUCGUAUUCUAGCCCUCGAGGCCCCUGGCUUGUAAUAUGAAGCUGAUGUUAUUUUAUUUGUGUCUAGAGUUGUGUUGUGAUAUCUUCCCGUGAAUCCUUGGGUUUGAUCGUACGCAUUUGCGUGUAUGGUUAGCGUACGAUUAAAUCGAGGGCGUCACAACCGGGGCCACCACUAUAUAUAGAGAGAGUAGGUUACUUCAUAGGGGAUCCGAUUCAUUCAUUCUCCCACCGGCACCACACAAAGGCCACCCAGCCUCCGGAGUCCCUCGAACAUUGUACUAGUUCAUCCACCAACCUCCACGAAAGGCAAUCCACCAAAGCAGGAGUAUGGUAUUACGCUUCUCAGUGGCCCGAACCUGGGUAAACGGUUGUGUUCUGUGUCUUUCUCACCAUCGAGUGAGUUCUCUGCCAUCCCCAGCGAGUAGCGAGUUAGGUGAGGCGAUCAAACGAGAGAUCUUCGUACACGCCCGUGAGUUCGAAUCUUUACGGUUUUGCGGAGCCCGGAAUCCGACAGUAAGAUCCAAUUGCCUGACUUGGACACCAUGGUGCUUAACAUUUGUAUUAAUGUGGUGAAGACGGAGUCAUGCUUUGUUAAUAUGAAAGAUUAUUGGGGAUAACCAUUCUUUUUGGAUUGUAUACUUUGAAAGAUUGAUGAUUUUGUUACUCAUGCUUAUAAUUAUUACUAUAUUUAUGUUUGUUGAUUCAUCAUUACUCACUGAGCAUACAUGCAAAAUAUUACAUAUAGGAUAGCAUGUCACAUCAAAAAUUCUGUUGUUAUCAUUUACCUACUCAAGGAUGAGUAGGAAUUAAGCUUGGGGAUGCUUGAUACGUCUCCAAUGUAUCUAUAUUUUUUUAUUGUUCCAUGUUGUUAUAUUAUCAUCCUAGGAUACUUUUUGGGUCCUAAUUCACCAAUUUAUAUUAUUUUUUAGUGCAAACAUAUUAACCAAGUGCCCAGUGCCACUUGAUGUUUUCUUCGUGUUUUUUGUUUUUCAGGUUUUCAAUACCAAUCGAAGUCCAAUUACCAUGAAACUUUUUUAUGAUUUUUUCUAGAUCAAACUAAGACCUCGAAGCUUCGGGAGGAAACCUGAAGCCACACGUGGGGUCCCAAGGCAACAGGGCGCGACGAGGGGGUGGCCGCGCCCUGAUGCCUUGGCACGCCCCUGUGACCCCACUUACCUCGUUCUCUAGCCUAUAAAUUCCCAAAUAUUCCAAAAAAAACCCUAAAUAUUAUUGCCAAAUAAUUUUUACGCUACCGCAAGUCUGUGUUCCAUGGUGACCCCAUCUGGAGCUCAAUUCCAGCAGCCUGCUCGAGGGGGAUCGAUCACGGAGGGCCUCAUCAUCAUCCUUGGUGCCCUUGUAAUGAUGUGUGAGUAGUUCGCCACAGACCUAUGGGUACGCAGUUCGUAUCUAGAUGGCUAUUUAUCUUCUUGAUCUUCAAUACAAUGAUCAUCGCAUCUUCGAUUUUAUCUAUUUGAUGUAAUUCAAUUGUAUGGUGUGUUUCUGAUUUUUAUGAUUCUUAUUUGCAUGAUCAUCAUAGCUUCAUAAAUCUAUCUGAUCUAUAGAAUUGCUUUGGCCAAGUAGUUUGAUAUUUCUUCAAUGGUAGGUGUGCUUUGUAGUGGGUUCAACCUGGCGAGUUUCUAUAACACAAUGACUCAAGGGGACAAGUUGCGUCUUUGUGUUUCUUCCACUAAGGAUAAAACGAUGGGGUUUAUUCAUAUUGGUUAAGUUUACUUUGUCUACAUCAUGUCAUUGUUCUCCAAGCAUUACUCGGUUUCACUUAAUACUCUAGAUGCAUGUUGGAUAGAAGUCGAUGGGUGGAGUAAUAGUAGUAGGUGCACGCAAGAGUCUUCCUGUUUUCUUAUCGACGUGAUGACUAUAUAUACAUCAUCAUUUCCAUGAAAGUCGCAUAACUAUGCGCUAUUCUAUCAAUUGCCCAACAGUAAUCUGUUUACCCACCAUAUGUUGCUUUAAUCAUAGAUGCCACUCAAGAACAUUAUGGCCCCCACGUAUAUUCCCUUAUAUAUUCAGAAAACUUAUAAUUUCCUUGUUGUUAUUAUUUUUAUUUUAUUUUAUUUUGCAAGUCACAACUAUCUACACACCUCAUUCGCUUGCAAAUAACGAGAUCAAGGGGAUUGACAACCCUCUUGCCCGUGUUGGGUGCAAGUUGUUUGCUCUUUUGUGUGCAGCUGUUGAAGAUGGUUGAGGACUAAUAUUCCUAUUGGUUUGAUAAACCUUGGUUUCCUAAUCGAGGGAAAUACUUACCCGCAUUUUGCUGCGAUAACACGUUCCUCUUCACGGAAAACCCAACACAGAUCACAGUAUCACGAAGGAUUUGUGGCACCGUUGCCGGGGAAUAUCAUCACUAGUUAUGAAGUAACUUCAUAGAAAUUAGCAUUCACUUGUUCUUAUUUUUAUUGUAUAUUAUAUUUUCCUUUCUUAAAAAAAUCAAAAAUACAAAUAUUUAUCUUUGCUUGUUACUGCUUUGCUUGCUUAGCUUGUAACGUUUGCUUGAAAGUUGCUACCAUGUCUAAGUUUGAAAUUAGUGAUGCAUCUUCCUCUAGUGCGGAAGCCCUUGAUUUUCCAACUUCACCUUGCAAUGAGAAUUCUAAAAGAAAUUUUGAUAAAGUUGCUAAUAAAAAACUUGAAAAUCUUCGAGAUAAUGAUCCUUCUAAGGUGGAACCUAUUCUGCAAACUAAGAAACUCCGCAUAGGUAGUGGAAAUAUUAUUGGAAAGAGUGUGAUUCAAGUUUUUUUCACUUGUGUGGGAUAACUACCAUUGAUAGGAUGUUCUAUUAUUGAUAUAACUACAAGUUAUGUGGAUGCUAUAUCUUUGCUUAUAGUACAAUUGGAAAGAAAAUUUGUGCACAUGCAUCAUUUCAUACAAUGGAUGUUUCUAGAAUUCUCUAAUAUCCAUGAAGCUUCCACCAAAUAUCUAGCUACUAUACUUCUUUGUCAAGAAUUUAGUAAUAUCAUGCAAGAAGAUAGAGAUGUAUUUUCUCAUUAUAGGGUUAAAAGUGAGUGCCCACCCAUAGAGGGGAUUCUUUAUGUGAUGGAAGAAAUAAGAAAACUAAGCUCCACAAACUAUGUUGCUUAUGAUGAGAAUCUUAGAAAGAAGGUUCCACUUAAUGUCUUAGUUGAUAAGAUCUCUAAACACAAUCAUAAAUUUUCAAUACAAAAACAUGGAUUUAGUUAUGAGUUUCAAAUAAAAUUAAGAAAAUACCUGUAUCGGAACUUAUACAAUGAGGAGCUAACUAUCACUUAUGAAAAACCUAAAGAAGAGCCUCAUGUUCCUCCCGAGGUAGAUCUCGCAGAUCCUUUUAUUGUGAUAUUUAUUCCUUUAAAUUAUUUUUUAUUACCAAUCAGAAAACUUUCUGCUGAAAGGAAGAAAUAUUAUUAUAGCAUGAUGGCUCAUUCUCGAAAGGAUGACAACACCUGAUCAUAUGCAUUAUGCCUAGCUAGGUGCAUAAAACAAUAACGCUUGUUGGGAGGCAUCCCAAUAGUUAUCUUAAUUUUUGUCUUUUUUAAUUUAUAAUUUUGUGUUGAUAUGAUUAUGGCCUCUGUAAUUAUUGUGUUUUUAUUUUUUGAAUUAGUUUUUGUGCCAAGUUAAACCUUUUGGAUGAUUUGUAUGAUGAGUAUAAUUGAUACGGUGCAAAAACAGAAGCUUUGACAUCCAAUGCAGAAUUUCUCUCAUUUUACUGGAACGUAUUUUUAAGAAGAAUUAUUUACACAGUAUUUCUGUAUAAAUUACCCAGCUCUUCACAAUAUUUCUGAAUUUUUGGAGUUACAGAAUUAUAGGUUCAUUACAGAUUAAUACACACUGUUCUCCUUUAGACAAAUUCUGUUUUUUGCUUGCAUAGUUUGCUUGUUUUGAUUAUGUUAUGGAUUGUAUCGGGGGUUAUAAGCCAUGGACAAGUUAUAAUACAGUACCUAUUAUGCAAUAAAUAAAUAAGAAUAAAUAUACAACAGUGCCUAAGUAUUUUUUAUGUUGCUUAUACUAACGGGUCUCACGAAGUUUUGUUGACUUUUGUGUGAUUGAAGUUUUCAAGUUUUGGGUGUUAUCGCGAUGGACAAUGGAAUAAGGAGCAUCAAGAGCCUAAGCUUGUGCAUACCCAAGGCACCCCAAGGUAAUAUUCUAUGAAGACUCAAGCGCCUAAGCUUGGGUAUGCCCCGAAAGGCAUCCCCUCUUUCGUCUCAAUUCAUCGGUAUUUCACUUGAAGCUACAUUUUUAUUUAUCACAUGAUAUGAGUUUUGCUUGGAGCGUUGUUCGUUUUAGUUUGAUUUUUAUUUUUAUUUUGCCACAAUCAUGUUUUGUUGGACACACAAACCUGAGAGAGAGAGAGAGACAUGCAUCAUGAUUUGUUAGAAUACUCUUUAUGCUUCACUUAUAUCUUUUGAGCUAAAUAGUUGCUCUAGUUCUUCACUUAUAUCUUUUUGAGCACGGUGGCAUAUAGAUUUUAUAGAAAUAUUUGAACUAUCGUUCCUCACUUAUAUUUGUUUGAGAGUUAAUAAACAGUAGUGGUAAUUUUCAUGGGUCAUAAAGAAAGUCCAAAAAUAAUAAGUAUUCAAUGUAUGAUAAUCAAAACCAUCAUGUGGUACAUAAAGAGAAAUUGUGGGUUAAUGAUAUUGAUAUGGUAAUAUAGAAAAGGUGUGAGUACAUAAUUGUUGAUUCAUAAAAGUAGCGGUACUACUAGGUGUUAAUUCCUUGUUUCUCUGAAUAAUAAAAAGGCAUGGCGGGGAUGUGUGAGAAUUUUCUUCGUUGUUGAAAUCCUAGUGUUGUUUCGAGUCGGAGUCGCACGAUGGUUAACUCCUCCCAACGAGAGGCAUGUAGGUAGUGCUUUGAUUUCUAAUGAAACUAAGAAAACUUUCCAAUAAGUAUAAGAGUUCUUCAUGAUUAAUGUGAAACCAUGGACAUACACAAUCUCAUCUCCUUAUAUUUUGCUAGCCUCUUCGGUACCGUGCAUUGCCCAUUCUCACCUUGAGGAUCGGUGCGAACUUCGCUGGUGCAUCCAAACCCCGUGGCAUGAUAUGCUCUGUCACACAUAAACCUUUCUUUAUCUUCCUAAAAACAGCCACCAUACCUACCUAUCAUGGAAUUUCUAUAGCCAUUUUGAGAUAUAUUGCCAGGAAAAUUCCACCGUUACAUCAUAUGACUAGUUCAUUCAUCAUGAUAUUUGUUUUGCAUGAUCAUAUGGAGCUAACAUAGCAUUUGUGAAAAAGCCGCCAUUCAUUAUAUUGUUGAUACAUGUCACGCUAGAUCAUUGCACAUCCUGGUACAUGGCCAGAGGCAUUCAUAUUGAGUCAUAGUUCUUCAUAUCGAGCUUUCAUGAGUUGUAAGUAAAUAAAAGUGUGAUGAUCAUCAUUAUUAGAGUAUUGUCCAAGUGAGGAAAGUAUGAUGGAUACUAUGAUGCCCACACAAGUCGGGAAGAGACUCUGGACAAAAAAUAAAAAUGGGCGAGGACAACUGAGCCCACCAUAAAAAAUGAAUGAGAUAAAAAAAGAGAAGGGACUUUUUUACUAUCCUUUACCACACUUGUGCCUCAAAAUGGCACCAUGUUACUCAUAUAGAAAGUUUCGUGAUAUGUAAUUUUCAUAUGCUAGUGGGAAUCAUACUAUAAUUGUUAUAAACUUGGCUUGCAUAUUCCAAUGACGGGCUUCCUCAAAAGCCUGAGGUCUUCAUGAGCAAACAAGUUGGAUGAACACCCCACUUAGCUUCAUCUGAGCUUUCAUACACUUAUAGCUCUAGUGCAUCAUUUGCAUGGCAAUCCCUACUCCUUGCAUUGACAUCUAUCAAUGGGGAUCUCCAUAGUCCAUUGGUACACCUAGUUCAUGUGAGACUAUCUUCUCCACUUUUACCCCUUUGAUACCUACCACCCUAAUCUAUUCCACCUUAUGUUAUGUCCAUGGCUCAUGCUCAUGUAUUGUCUGCAGAAUAAAAGUUCAUUCACUUUGAAAAAGUAUGAUCCAAUUGCCUAACUUGGACAUCGUGGUGCUUAACAUUUGUAUAAAUGUGGUGAAGACGGAGCCAUGCUUUGCCUUUUGUGUGCGGCCUCUAGAGACGGUUGAGGAUUGAUAUUCCUUUUGGUUCAAUAAACCUUGGUUUCUUAAUUGAGGGAAAUAUUUAACCGCAUUAUGCUGCGAUAACGCGUUCUGCUUCACGAAAGACCCAACGCAGAUCAAAAGUAUCAUACCUUUUACAGAAAUUAUAUGCUCAAGUAUGAUGCCUUCAUUCAUCAUAAAGUGGCAUAUGCUCUCAGUUCAAGACAAGGUUCAUUUCUUCACAUCUCUACAGAACUCAUUCAAGGUUGCUCAAAAAAUCAUCAAAAUAAGUCUCAUAAACAAUAAAAAUCAUCCAUGAAGACCUCAACAAUCUUUUCACAGAAGUCGGAGAAUAUAGCUUUCAUACACCUUUGAAAGGUGGCGGGUGCAUUGCAUAAAUCAAAAGGCAUACAUCUAUAAGCGUAAGUUCCAAAAGGGCAAGUGAAAGUAGUUUUCUCUUGGUCCUCCUUUGACAUAGGUAUUUAAGAAAAACCAGAAUAUCCAUCAAGAAAACAAAAAUGUGUGUGAUUAGAUAAUAUUUUUAACAUUUGAUCAAUAAAAGGCUAGGGGUAAUGAUCUUUUCUAUUAUCUUUGUUCAAUUUCCUGAAAUCAAUUACCGUCUUAUAACUAGUUACGAUUCCUUGUGGGAUAAGUUCAUUUUUAUCAUUAGGACCAACAGUUAUACCUCCUUUCUUAGGAACACAAUGAACAAGACUUACACAUCUACUAUGCACAAUAGGAUAAAUUGCAUAUGCCUCCAAAAUCUUUAAUAUUUCAGUUCUUACCACUUCCUUCAUCUUAGGGUUUAAGCGGUAUUGGUGAUCAAUGACAGAUUUAGCAUCUGGUUCCAUAUUAAUCUUGUGCUGACAUAGAGUGGGAUGAAUGUCCUUAAGAUCAUCAAGAGUAUAUCCAAUAGCAGCUCAAUGCUUCCUCACAGUUUUAGUAAUCUCUUCUCUUCAUGCUCUGAAAGGUUAGCACUAAUAAUAACAUGAUAAAUCUUCUUUUCAUCAAGAUAUGCAUAUUUCAAGGUAUCAGGUAAUUUCUUCAGCUCAAACACGGGAUGUCCCGUAAGUGGAGAAGGAUCCCCUAAAAUAUCAAUCACCAAGUUGUGUUUAAGAAUAGGUGUUUGUCUAUAAAAUAUUUCAUCUAUUUCAUUUCUCUCAUUCAGAUGCAUAUCAUUCUCAUGGUCUAGCAAGUAUUGCUCUAAAGGAUCAUUAGGAAGCACAAUAAUAGAAGCAGGACCAAUAAUUUCAUCUUUGCUAGAUAACGCUUCCUCAUGAGGUCAUCUACUAAACUUGGAGAAAUUAAAAUCUUGAGACACAUCACCAAAGCUUACUUUAACCUUCUGAGUAACGCAAUUAAUUUCACCAUUAACUAUAUUCAAGAAAGAUUUACCAAAUAUAAUGGGACAAAAGCUAUCUUGGUGUGAACCAAGUACUAAUAAAUCAGUAGGUACUUAAUUUUUCCACACAAUACUUCAACAUCUCUAACAAUCCCAAGUGGUGAAAUGGUGUCUCUAUUUGCAAGUUUAAUAAUGACAUCUAUAUCUUCAAUUCCAAAGGGUGCUAUAUCAUUCAUAAUUUCCUGAUACACGAUAAAUGUAUAGCACUAACACUAGCACCAUGUCACACAAGCCAUGGUAACAAUGAUAUCCAAUAUUAACAGAAACAACACGCGUGCCAACAACUGGUUUAUUUUUAUCUAGCUCAUCUUGUUUGUUUCUAAUAGGUUUUGCAAUUCUAGCAGCUUCGUCAUAGAAGUAAAUGGCAUGGCCAUCAAUAUUAUCAGCUAGGACAUCUUUAACCAUAGCAAUAUUAGGUUCUACUUUUAUUUGUUCAGAAGUCUUAGGUGUCCUAAUAUUACUUUUAUUAACCACAGUUGAAGCCUUGGCAUGUUCCUUAAUCCUAACAGGAAAAUGUGCUUUCUCAAUGUAAGCAGCAGAAACAACUACAUCAACAUGGCUAACACUUAUUUCUUCCUUAACCUCAAUGGGUUCCUCUAACAAUUAUUCAAUGGGUGGAUGAAAUUUAAACCACUUCUCCUUACGAAGAUCAACAUGAGUAACAUUCACAUAAAUAAGCUACUAUUUCAAAGUCGAGCUUAUAUUUAUUGCUAAACUUAUGAAAAGCAUCAGUUUCCAUAAAAGAUUCAACAUGGUCAAACUCAAGCUUUACACCUAACUCUUUACCUGUGUCAAGUUCCCAAUAUUCAGAGUUGCAUUUAAUUAUUUCCAAAAGAUACCAAUUGAACUCGAUAGUUCUCUCUGUGUAGGAACCAGUAGGAGAAAAAUCGAGUAUUAAUUGAUCAUCAUGAGAAAGUCGAGCAUAAAAGUUUUGUAUAACCAUUUAUCUUGAGAGUCCUUGGUUGGGGCAAGUUUGCAUCAUAUAUUUAAGCCUCCCCCAAGCUUGAGCGAUGCUUUCACCUUCAAGAGCCCAGAUAUUAUAUAUAUAGUUCCGAUCACGAUGAACUAGAUGCAUUAGAUAGAACUUCUCAUUAAAUUCCAGCUUCAAGCGAUUCCAGUCCCAUGAUCCAAUGUCAUCCAUUAGCCUGUACCACAUCAAUGAUUUUCCCUCCAAAUAUAAAGGUAAUACUUUCUUAUUAACUUUUUCUUGAGGCAAAAAUGCAAGCUUAAAUAAUCCACAAACCUCAACAACAUAUAUCAGGUGAUAAUCGGGAUGAGUUGUACCAUCAUAAGGACUAGCUAUAAGUUUCUCUAGCAUACCCAAAGGAAUAUCAUAAUAAAUAUUUUCAGUAGGUUGAGGAGCAACCUUCUCAACUUCCAUUCGGGGUGAAGAUGCUCCGAAUAAGCCACUCAGAGGGUGACCGUCCAUAGUAACAAGCAACAGUAAAUUUCAGCACGUACUGAAAAUAUUUCCUCACCAAUUUUCACUUACCGAAGACGCUUCAGUCCCCAGCAACGGUGCCAGAAAAGAGUCUUGAUGACCCACAAGUGUAGGGGAUAAAUCUUAGUUCGUUCGAUAAGUAAGAGUGUCGACCCCAACGAAGAGCAGAAGGAAAUGGUAAGAGGUUCCAAUCCCAUGAUCCAAUAACAUCCAAUAGCUUAUAGCACAUCAAUGAUUUUCCCUCCAAAGAUAAAGGGAAAACCUUCUUCUUGACCUUGUCCUCAAAUAAACCUUCAAUCUCAAAUAAUCCACAAAUCUCAUCUACAUAUAUCAAGUGGUAAUUAGGAUGAGUUGUACCAUCUCCUGCAUAAGGAUUAGCUAGCAGGUUCUCUAACAUACCCGAAGGAAUCUCACAAUAAAUAUUUUAGAAAGUUUAGUAGGUUGUAGAAUGGAUUUUGCCACUUUCGUUCGAGGCAAAUAUACCCUUAACAAACCACUCAAAGGAUGAUUAUCCAUAGUAACCACCAACAGUAAAUUUUAGCAAAUGCCAAAAAUGUUUCUUACCAACCACUUACCAAAGGCACUCACUCCCCAGCAAUGGCGCCAGAAAAGAGUCUUGAUGACCCAUAGGGAUAGGGGAUCAAUUGUAGUCCUUUUUAUAAGUAAGAGUGUCGAACCCAACGAGGAGCAGAAGGAAAUGAUAGGUAGUUUUCAACAAGGUAUUCUCUGCAAGUGCUCUGAGUAACGGUGAUAGAUAGUUUUGUAGAAAGAUAAUUCAUAACAAGUGAUAAGUAACAAUAGUAUUAAGUGUGCAGCAAGAUAGCCCAAUCCUUUUUAUAGCAUAGGACAUGCAUGAGAGUUCUCUUAUAUGAAGCAAGCACUCCCGAGGACACAUGGGAAUUUCUGUCUAGUCAUGUUCACAUGCUGAGUUGAUUCGCGUUCGUUACUUUGAUAAUUUGAUAUGUGGGUGGACCGGUGCUAAGGUGUUAUUCUUAUUUGAACAAGCAACCCACUUAUGAUAAACCCCUCUCGAAAGCAUCCCCAACUACGAAAGAAGAAUUAAGAUAAGUCUACGCAUAGCAUGAAACGUGUGGAUCCAAACCAACCCCUUAUGAAAUAACGCACAAACUAGGGUUUAAUAUUCUAUCACUUUAGCAACCCAUCAUCUACUUAUUAGUCCAUAAUACCUUCCCUUAGGACCAUAAUAUCGUGACGUGCCAUGUAGUCAACAUUCACACGACACCACUAAGAGAAGGAACAACAUGCAUAUCAUCAAAGUAUCGAAAGACUACCAACUUCACAUGAUUACUUAUAACAAUACUUAUCCCAUGUCCUCAGGAACAAAAGUAACUACUCACAGAUCAUCAACAUGUUCAAGAUCAGAGGUGUAAUAAUGAUAAUUAAGGAUCUGAACAUAAGAUCUUCCACCAAAUAAGCCAACUAGCAUCAACUACGAGAUGUAAUCAACACUACUAGUAACCCACACGUACCAAUCUGAGGUUUUGAGACACAGAUUGAGUACAAGAGAUGAACUAUGGUUUGAGAUGAGAUGGUGCUGGUGAAGAUGUUGAUGAAGAUUGAUCCUCCCACGAAGUAGGGAGCAUUGGUGAUGACAAUGGCGUUGAUCUCCUCCUCUCGAAGAGAAAUUUCCGUGGAAGAAUAUCUUUGCCAGAGAGCAAAAUGGCCUCUCCCCAGGUUUCCGCCUCAAGAUGGCGGCGCUUCACCCUAAAAGUAUCCUCCUCAUUUUUCUAGGUCAAAACACACCUUAUAGGAGAAGAGGGGAGUCAGGGCACCUACGUGGGUCCCACAAGCUAACAAGGCGCGCCAUGUUGGCUUGUGGCCAGCACGUCGCCCCCCCCCUCUGGUGUAUUUUGGGCCCAACAUUUUUUAUAUAUUCCAUAAAAAUUCUCCAUGAAGUUUCACGUCAUUUGGAGUCGAGUGAAUUUUCACCCAUUUUCUUGGUUUUCAAGUCCGGAAUUCCAAUUCCCGGUAAUUUCCCUCUUUGUGAUGUACCUUGUAAAGUGAGAGAGAAAGGCGUAAGAGUUAUCUCAUGAAGUGGAAUAAUGACCAAGAAUAACAUAAAUAUCAACAAGAAAUCAUGAUGGAAAAUUGAUGUAUCAACCCUAAGCACCAAAACUCAAAUAGCAAAAAGCCAAACAAGAACCAAGAAAGAUGAUGAUGCCAAGAAUGCACUCGUUUGAGCUCUCUAUGAAAGAUACGAUCAAGCUACUCACUCAAGUGCCCCCUUUAUAGUACGGCAAUCGAUCAUAUUCCCCGUUCUCCCAACCAACACCACGAGACUGGUAAAAUAGUAAACCUGUCGAGGACAAACCAUUACGUUGCACAUAGUCCACUUGAGCUAGAUGAUUAAGAUCUUGUCCUUGUAAAGAUGGACCACUGAUUGCGCCGACUCGAUGAAAACUAGUGGAUUGCCCCCCAUACUCCGCUAUGGGUGAGCCUUUCUUUGGUACAUCUUACAUGUCCAUUAUCAUCAUAAUGGACAGCAAGCUUCAAGCAUGAUCGCUUUGUGAUGCUCCACUUGAACUUGCACGCCACUUGAUGUCAUCCUCCAUGGAUUGUAUGAGUUCUUCUUUUCGACGCAAGCCCAUGGAAAGAUACCUAACCCCACAAAGAACACUCACAUAGACCAUGGGUUAUUACACAAAGCAUAAUGGAAAAUACUUACCAUACCAUGAGAUCACUUGACCCCACUUGGUACAUCUUCUACGAUUUGUGUGUUGGUCAACUUUAAUUAGUCUUUGUACUUACUCUUGAUCAACCUUGCAUCCAGUGGCGGAGCCAGCCUAUGAAAACACCCCGGGCAAGACUUAACUAUGACAGCGUGACCUGCCCCUGCCAAAGGAAUUAAUCCUUCUAACCAUCGAUUAACACUAGUGCUUAGUACUAGUUUCAUGGACGGGUCGCCGGGAGGUGGCUCCGCCACUGCUUGCAUCAUAUCUUCUCUCCGAUCAAUCUUCGGAUAACUCCUUGAAUAGCACCUUGGUCAACACAUAAUCUUCUUCUAAUAACCUUGAGACCAAUAAAUGGCUUCAAGCAAGAUCUAUGAACAAACCCUCCAAAUAUAACUCAUGGCAAACACUAGUCCAUAGGGAUUGUCAUCAAUUACCAAAACCAAACAUGGGGGCACCAUGUUCUUUCGCUAAUACAAUAAGUCAAUGCUUUGCAUGUCAAGAAUAAGAUUUAAAUAAAGCGCCCACAUAACACUAACACUUCAAAUUGCAGUUCCCAAGCAAAAAUACGAAAGGGGAGUACAAUUUGUACAUGAAAAAAUAAUAUCAUUGGAAACUACAUUCAAAUAUGAAUCUAACAAUAUAAUUUUAGGUGGCUUGCAUUAACAUAUUGCUAGUCAAAUAUAUGGUCAAACUUCCCCGACAAGAUAGGGACUAAUAUACCCAGACUGAGCAAAACCCUAACUCUUGCCACCACCCACCAUGUACACUUAUGAUUGCAGUUCCCCGGGAAUGAAACAAUAGAAUUGCUACCGCCGCCUACACUGGUGAUUGCAGUUCCUGAAGAGUGGAACAACAUCACUGUUGGUGUUGCCAUCCACUACCCUCCUACAUACAGAUCCCCAUUAUAAUUAAGGAGCCCUCUGCUCUCCAUAUAUUCCAUCGUCUUCUUCUCCCACUGCCCCAACCCCCACAAACUGAGAACCGCCACAUCCAACUCUGCAUGAGAAGAAAUUCCAAUGGCGAUCCGUGGGGUGAGCCUUGAUCUGGACUUUGGCAUGGAGUUCACCUUUAAGUUUGCCAUGCAGGCCUAUUGCAACAACAUGGUGAAAGUGAUGUACAUGAACGAUCUAGACAUGGUGAAGUGUUGCCUCACCAAGUUCAAGCAAGACCUACAGGAGGAGAAGCACAAGGACGCGGGACUAGACCUUGUGCCUAUCCAUCCGGAUGCUGACGGGGACCAACGGAUUGCCACCGCCAAGGUAUGUGGGACCAUGCUCUCGUCUACAACUACUGUAAGGCCAUGAGGACUUGUGAAGAGUUCGCCAAUUUCAUCUGUAUUGUCGAAUGCACCUUUGCUGCGGUGGAGAAAAGGAAGAAAGCGACGGUGCUUCAUAAUUCGUCCAUCUUGUGGGAGAAGCUCAUAGACAUCCAAGAGUUCAUCGACAACGUGAAGGACAAGGACUCCGUGAUUGACCUCUUUGUGUCCAUUAUCGACCCAUGUUUGACCAACGUGAAAGAAGAUGUUGAUACAAAGGACCUUAACACGUGGGAGGUACCUCUAAAUUUAGCCUACAUCGCCUACGCGGCCAAGGACGCAUAUGCAUGCUAUGAAAUGUACAGGCGGAUCUUGGACAUGAGGGUGUGUCUCCUUCCCGAGGGGUAAUACAGCCACAACACCAUGAUCAAGCAAUGCGAGGAAGAUCUAGAUGGUGUACUUUGUGUGUUUAAGUACUUUAUCAUCUCACAAUCCCAUGCGUUAGCCUUUCAUCCUUGAUCUUUUGUGUAAGAACUCAUGAACCUAUUUGCUUAUCUAUGUAGUAGUACUAGUUCACCGGGUUGUCAUGUAUCGUACUUUUUUUUUUGAGGUCGAAUAGGUACCAACGGGGUUGUCUCCUGCCCAGGCUAGUUUUUUUUCUUAGGACAUCCGCAGCCCACAACAUGUUGAUAGGGAUCUAGAAGGUUUAUCUUUAAAAAGGUUUAUCAAUUUUUCCUUUGGGUGUGGUUUUCUCUAGGUUGCAUCCAGGAACGUGUUGAUUAAUUCAUUUUGCCUAGAUUAUUAGCGAAUUUCACUCAGGGUGGUCAUCUUUUAUCACGAAUGAUUAGAACAAAGUUAGGAUGCACCUUGCUUUAGUUAAGUUUGCUACCUAAAGUGUGAUCAUGUGGCAGCCAUUAGAUUGAAAGCCAACGACUAGUGUGCUUUCAAUCUCCUUUCUCCCAACAUAUUCCCCUUGUCUGGUGGACCCAAUAUAUUUCGUAGACAAACAUCUGAAACUGAGCAACUAUCCAUUUGUAUUACUUCUUUUAGCAAAUUUUUGUCCUUUAUAAUGUUUAAACAACUUUUAUUUUUGUAUAUACGUCGAGUAGGUAUCAACUCCCACAAGCAUGCCCAUCCCAAGUUAAUUUAUUGACAGAGCAUGUCCAACCCAGCUUCUAUUUUUGUUUUCUGAGAGAAAGAUCCACGGAGUUUUAUUCUCCUGAGAGGAAUGUGCGGCUCAAAUAUACUAUUUUUUUCAAUCAGCACAACUCCAAAUCUUUCGACAAGAGAGAUGUAUUCGCUCUGUUUUUAUUUACUACAAUGUGGGCUAAUAAGUCGAAGUCUAUGUAAUGCAUUGUCAACUUGAUCAACAAAAGAUUCCGUUGGAUGUAAUCCAACGGCCGACAUGCUACCUUAAUAUCUUGUCGUCUUCCUCCACCGCUGGCGGACCACAUUCUCCAGCCUCCCGAGAAACCGGCGCUGCUUCGCGUGCCUCGCUGCAAUGCGCUACUUCACCGUCCGCCAGGCCAUCUCUCCACCAGAUCCACCCCUCGUGACUGCAGCCCCAUCCUGCAACUGAACCAGUCGACCCUCGUACUCCACUCCGUCUGGGAUUCAAUUGCCGCAUUCUCCCCAUCUCUGGGUCAUUCCUGUACGGGAAUCGUCAUCGUCCACCUCCUUCUUGCUCUCGGUGCUGCAUAGUCAAAGUGAUCAAGGAACGAGAGCCGUUGGAAGAGGUUUCUACAUGGGUAGGCUGACUGUAGGGACCCACCAGGUCCAUGGUCGCACGCGCCCCGAUGCCCUCUUUGUUGACAACUUUCGCCGACGCAUUCGAAUGGUAAAAAUAUUUUCGAUCGUCUCUAUCAUGACAUCUUGCCUUUGAUGAGUGUACUAUUUGAUUAUUUUUAAUUAUGACUAGUGUUGCAUUAGAACAUUUUAACUUUUUUAAACUAUAUAUGCGGUUAUUUGCACGUGCAAUUUAGAAAAAAUAGGAUCAAACAUAUGCAAUUAUUUUUUGGAUGGCCGGUUUCUGCAUCCGUAUUCGUAGACUGAUUCCACUCCGUGUGGAUGGAUAUGAGAACAUAUUUCUGGAUCAGUGUUAAAAAUGCCCUCACAUUUCUUUAUAAGAACCUACUCCGUGAAUAUUAGAGGCGGUUUCAUUUAUUAAGCGUUCAAGUUAGAUUCAAGAAAGCCCGCGUUAGGUUAUGCAAGGUGGCUGAAAAUAAUUCGUGAAAAAAGGUGCAUCCGUGGACCAAAUAUAUUGCUCUGUUUUUUGUACUGCUAGUAUUCAUACGGAGGAGAAUAUUGUUUACCCACACACGACUGCCUCUCGUUUGUCGCCUAUAUAGUUCCUCCGUCCUACCAAUUACUCCGUAUGUUGUUGAGUAAUUUCAGUAUAUGGUACCAAGGGAGCCAGGACACAUCACGAUUACACGAACUAGGCGCCAGGUAUGUGAUCCCUUCAGGAUGCCCUGUGUACUCCAUUCCACCGGUCCUCCAACUAAUAAAACAACAAAAACAACAUGAAACCAGUUCAUCACCCAAUCCUGCAAUUCAAGAACAAGAACAAACGGGAACACCAAAAAAGAACUGGAGAAAAUUGUGACAAAGACGGGAGCAUUUCAUUUCGGUACAAGGUGAAGGACAAGCACAAGCAAAUGUCCCCCACCCAGUACAUUUAAAAUUGACGCUAACCUCAUCAUUACCUCUACGACAUCGCCUUCGAUCAUGCAAACAUGUACAAUACAAUGCGAGUUUCUUGCAAGCUGUGUGUGGGCCAUAUUUUGAAAUUGCCACUAACCUUCUCAGCAUUCCCUUUGGGUUAUCGCCUGUGUCAUGCAAAUACUUACGAGUUUCCUAGCCCUUCGACGGUAGAACAUUUUCUUAUGACGCUCGAAGAAAUGUGGGAUAAGGACAUACGCAUACUCCAUGGAUCCACUUCUUAUGAACCAUUUUUAGGGUUAGAUAUACGCCACUACAGAGUUCACGGUCUUGAGAAAUACCGUCGACGUUCUGAAAAUGGGGAUACCCACACCUGCCUGCGUGCGAGUCAGAGCUAGCCCACUUCAUCGAUCAAAACCAACGGGCCCGACACCACUCAAGGCAAGGCCUUCGCGGGGCCCAAGCCUCGCGGGGAGGAGCAACUUCAAGACCCGGAGCGGCAGAGAUUUCGAGGCAAGACCCAGCCUCGGGAGUCAAGGAUGAUGCAGGGGAAGGACAGGCGAGCAGCGGAUUGCAGGAUGUACAGUUUCCCCUUUCGUGCAAAGGAGGGAAGGACGUACGCGGGUUCUGAAGGCAUCUCCCAAAGGUUUCCAUUCUGGUGCAACAAGGCCAUGGCCGCCCGCCGGCAGGACGGACGUCACCCCUGGACCUAUCCCUGCUGCGCUGACAGCCACUUUUGCAGGCGAAGACCACAUUUGGGGCAGGGGAGCAUGUUUCCGUGUUCCCCUUCAAAAUUGGCCAUUGUGGGAUCCCUUCCCGCCGAAACGAUAAGGGAAGAGGACCGGGGCCACCACUAUAUAUAGAGGGUAGGUUACUUCAUAGAGGGAGGAGAUCCAUUCAUUCGCACACCCACACCACACGAAGGCCACCCAGCCUCCGGAGGCUCCCGAACACUGUACUAGCUCAUCCACCAACCUCCACGAGAGGCAAUCCACCAAAGCAGGAGUAGGAUAUUACGCUUCCCAGCGGCCCGAACCUGGGUAAACUGCUGUGCUAUGUGUCCUUCUCACCAUCGAGUGAGUUCUUUGCCAUCCCCGACGAGUAGCGAGCUAGGUGAGGCGAGGCCGCGAGAGAUCUUUGUAUACGCCCCUCAGUUCGAAUCUUUAGGGUUUUGCGGAGCCCGAAAUCCGACAUUUAGCGCGCCAUGUAGGGGGUGUGUCAAGGUCUCUCCCAGGGCUCGGCUCACUGAAGCUGGUCACACUCAUGGUAGGGGGACGGCGAGUCCGCGCGGAGAGCCGGGCCACACGCGUGGCACGACCGGCGCAGGCGGGCCGGAACGCCCUGCAACGCGACGUUCACGUCAGACGGGCUUCCAACGACCGUCGGGGGCUACCGCCUUCACCAACCACGCAGCAUCCCCCAGUCGCCCCGACCCUUCCACGCGUCCAGGUUGUUCCACCCCCUCUCGAGUCUGUCAGCACCCGACGCACAGACAUGUAGCGCUCUUGGUGGUGCAUGAGCUCACACGCCGACACGCCGCCCGUGGCGACCCCAUCGGCGGGCGCAGGCGCGACUUCGCCGGCGAGACCCAAGCGCGCCCCCAUGGGACCACGCUCGUCAGCCCGCACCGCCAGGGGCUACAACUGGGGAACCGUGGGGGCGCGCCUCAUACACCCGCCUAGGCAUGUCCUCGCUUGGGUCCGGCGGGAGCUCCUGGAGGCAUGGGACUUGAUCGCGCUGGGGAGGCGUCGUCCAGCGUCCCCGACACGCUUCAAGAAACGAGGAGGGAGUACAGGAGGCCUGACUACAUCAACCCCUGGAGGCACGGACAGUUCGACGAUGACCGCACCAGCACACGUCCGGGCUACGGAGGAAGCAGCGCGGACCAUCAUCGCGGUAGGAGGCAUGCACACGACCCCGCAGACAGACCCCGCGCAAACAUGUAUGAACAGCACCGAGGGGGUGGCCCGCGGGGGUGGCUUCGCGGGGACGCCCAGCGCGGGUGUCCUUGCGGAGCACACCUGCUGGUCGGGAGCUGCUUCGGGAAAACGUCUGGGUCUGGGGACAGGGGACCCCUCGCCUCGGACAGGGUGGAUGCACCCUUGUGACCCAGCCGAGAGGCCCCAGCCUGGGAACGGAGGGUGGAGCACACGCCCAUGUUCCCGGGCCAGACGAUCGUAACCUGGGGGUCGGGGUGCUAUAUUCGCCCUGCCUCUGGGGCGUUGAUACGUAUCCAUCGUAUCUACUUUUCCAAACUCUUUUGCCAUUGUUUUGGACUCUAAUUUGCAUGAUUUGAAUGGAACUAACCCGGACUGACGGUGUUUUCAGCAGAAUUGCCUUGGUGUUGUUUUUGCGCAGAAAUGAAAGUUCUCGGAACGUCCUGAAAAUUUACGGAGAAUAUUUCUAGAAAAUAUGAAAAAUACCUGCGCAAAGAUCCACCGGAGGGGGUGAGCCAGUGGGCCACAAGCCCUAUGGCCGCGGCCACCCCCCCCCCACGGGCCACGGCGUCUGGGCUUAUGGGGGCCAUGUGGCUCUGCCGCCGCCAAACUCAGCUCCAUUUAUUCCCUUUCGUCCCGAAAAAAAUCAAGAGAGAAGAUUUCAUCGCGUUUGCGACACGGAGGCGCCGCCACAUCCUGUUCUUCAUCUGGAGGGCAGAUCUGGAGUCUGUUUUGGGCUCCGGAUCAAGGAGAUCGUCGCCAUCGUCAUCAUCAACCUUCCUCCCUCUCCAAUUCCAUGAAGCUCUUCAUCGUUCGUGAGUAAUCUAUUCGUAGGCUCGCUGGGCGGUGAUGAGUAGGAUGAGAUAUAUCAUGUAAUCGAGUAAGUUUUGAUGGGGAUUGAUCCCUAGUAUGCACUAUGUUCUGAGAUUGAUGUUGCUACUACUUUGCCAUGCUUAAUGCUUGUCACUAGGGCCCGAGUGCCAUGAUUUCAGAUCUGAAAUUAUUAUGUUGUCACCAAUAUAUGUGUGUUUUAGAUCCGAUCUUGCAAGUUGUAGUUACCUAGUAUGUGUUAUGAUCCGGCAACCCCGGAGUGACAAUAACCUGAACCACUCCUAGUGAUGACCAUAGUUUGAGGAGUUCAUGUGUUCACCAAAUGCUAAUGCGUUGGUCCGAUUCUUUAUUAAAAGCAAAACCUUAAUAUCCCGUAGUAUCCAUUUGGACCCCGCUGCCAUGGGAGGGAUGGACAAUAGAUGUCAUACAAUUUCUUUUCCCUGAGUACGUAUGACUACACACGGAAUGCAUGCCUACAUCACAUUGAUGAACGGGAGCUAGCCACAUAUAUCUCCGUGUCAUAACUGUUGCAUGAUGAAUGUCAUCCAACAAAUCACCGAUCCAUUGCCUACGAGUUUGUCCCACUUCUGUUGUUACUUGUUUCGCUCUGCUGCUGUUACUACUGUUGCUGCUGCUGUUACUUGUUGCUACUGUUACUUGCUCUGCUGCUACUGUUGUCACUACUGUUGCUACUACUGUCACUUGCUACUGCUGUGACUUGCUACUGCUGCUAGUUGCUACUGUAGUCACUACUGUUGUUCCUUGCCACUGUUGUUACUCGUUACACUACUGCUACCUGCUACAAUACUUUUCUGGCGCCAUUGAUACAACCGUUAGGAAUAGUCUGCCUCGUCAACAGAUCGUUUCUCGCACCGUUGCUAUCGUACUACUUUGCUACUGAUACUUUGCUUGCAGAUACUAAUCUUUCAGGUGUGGUUGAAUCAAACACAUUCAGCUGCUAAUACUUGAGAAUAUUCUUUCACUUCCCGUCGCGCGAACCAACAAAUUUGGGUUGAAUACUCUACCCUCGAAAACUGUCGCGAUCCCACGCGCUGGUGGGCUAUUGCAAGACAAUUUCUAAUUGUUGAGAAACUUGAAGCAGCUCUUUUCUGGCUCCGUUGCCGUGGAGGCAUCAAGUCAGGAAUAGUUGCACGUCAACAGGCGUGCGACGCCCGCUUGGGGAAUGGGGAUGGAACACACGUCCAUGUCUCCAGUGCAGGCUUCGUUCGAUCGCCAGCAGGUGUUUGGGUACCCGCCAUUGCCCUCAGGAUGGGCUGGCCCGACCUGGGGGCAUGGCCCAGGGUACCAACAUGGGAACCUGGGGGGCCCAGCAAGGCAUGUUGGGGCAACACACCGGGGCUCAAGACCUAUCAUCUGGGCGAGCUCUCCGGUCAGCGAGCCCUGGGGGCUCCUCCCACGCUCGAGGGCUCGCUAAGGGUGGGUCACGCCACGCCGCUACGAGCCCGGGGACGACGAGCGGAGCACGCGCCUCAGAGGCUUGGGGCUCCCGAAGCAUCCCGGGACAUGCAUUGACCCGUGACGCCUCUGCAUUGUCCUUCAACCCUUCCGGAACCUACUUCAUCCAGUGACACUCUCACGUAAUAACGAGCCGAGACUGUAUACACCCAGGGCCCCCAAGGACGUGAAAGGGGUCCAUCCCAUGCCUAGUGGCAGCCCUACGCUCCGCGCUGGGGAGAAGACGGAGGCAAUCAACACAGUCCACCAAUGACUUCCGGAAUCAGGCGCCUAUGCCUCGGGUGUAGGGACACUCGCGAGGCCAAAGCGUCCUCGCGACCUCCCAGAUACACCCCUACCGUGACACUCUCACGUAAUAACGAGCCGAGGAUGUAUACGCCCAGGGCCCUGAGGACGUGGAGUGGUCCAUCCCAUGCCGAGUGGAAGCCAUAUACUCCGCGCUGGGGGAGAUGGAGGCGGUGAAUAGUUUGGAGUCGGACGCGGCCAUUUCUCGUUCAUUUCUUGCGCUUCAAGUUGUGACCCUCAGGGGCCACCCCUUUUGUACUUUGAGUUGUCAAAGGCUCGAAGAUCUCUUUGCUUAAUAUUUUGAAAAGAAAAGAAGGGCGGGGAUUUCUUCUCUAUGUUCUCACAUUUUACCAAAACUUGAGUUCUCGUUCUCCCUUUGUUUUGAUUGGUAUUUCGCGGUAACCUCGGGAGACCGUCGGGCCUCCCGAGGCAACCACAAGAGGGGCAGGAUUGGGGAAUCACUCGAGCGCCAAAGGGGACUCCUGAGGCGCACCUCAGGAGCCUUACAGGUCAUAAGGCCACUUGCCCUCCUUGAUGACAUCCUGGAAUUAUGGUCGGUAUCAGGGGAGGCGGCGCCCUGCCCCUUAGAUGCGCCCUUCGUGGCCAUACCUAAUGGUGGUGGGGAAAUGUGUGGGACUGGGACGUGUCGACGUAGAGCGGUUUGAGUGUCAAGGGGGACUACUGAGCAACAUGCCUCAGGAGACUUACCGGUUGCAAGGCCACUCGACCACCCAAGUGCCGCCCAUGCCGGAACCCAAAGCGUCGGGGCUUUGCCCCACGAGGAACAACCUUGGUAACGGGUUGCGCCUCGCGGCGGCACGGAAAUGUGCGGGACCAGGACCUGUAGACACAGAGUGUCGAAAGGGUCCUCAAACCGCCCCACAAGCAUGGAGGAAUCGUUGCGAACGGAGCCAUGCUUGCGGGUUAGACCAUCAGCGUCGCGACAACACGGGACUGACAGCGGCCAUGGCUAGGAGGAAAACAUCGCACACACCUCGUCCUCAAAGGACGCGUUGAAAGAUACCCUCCAGUUACAUCAAAGUUGCUAUUAAACCUAAUACAUAACCAUAUCAGGAGGACAAGGCGGUGGAUCAGGAGGACACAUCAUCGCCAGAGCUCACACCGUAGCCUUCGGGAGCGAGCCUUGUCACCAGGUCUUCCACAUGGACCUCGACCCAAUCGGCCAGGGCGGCGUGGAUCGUCUCUGGCACCGGAUCCAGCACAGUGGCGAAGUCAAAGUCUGGGUCGAGGCAAAGGAGGUGGCUGAAGAUGUCCGAGACCCCUUGGCCCAAUAGGUCACAUCUCCUCUCCUCUGCAAGCGCGUGGGCCUUCUUGGCACCCGCCUCAAGAUGCUCCAUGACAUGGAGGAAGGAGCCCAGGUACCCACCAUCAUCAGGGACCAGGGGACUUGAGACACCCUCGCCGCAGAUGUCGCUCAAAGCACGGGAGGCUCUCCCUCGAGGGAUUGGAACAUCCGGGAGUGUUCAAGUUGGAGGCCGUGAGCAUGUCUCCAACCAGGGAAGCCGCGCCUUUCACCUGUUUGUAAAGAAGAGACAGUUUACCUUCGGCAGUAGCCUGGGCUUCCAGCGCGCCUCUCGACGUCUCACUUCUUGAUCCAACCUUUUCUGGAGGGCAUUGACCUCGUUUUUCACGUGGCUGUGGCGUUUGCAGAAGCGGGACUCCUAGAGCCUCAGCUUCGCACGAUAGUCAAGAAGAAGGGAACGUUGAGCUUCCACCACCCCUUGUCGAUCUCCUCAUGAAGCUUCACCUCACCGGAGGCAAGGGAUUCCUCAGCAAGCGACACCUCGCGCUCCUUCACCUCCAGACGCUCCCGCUCUAGGCUCUGCUCCACCUCUUCCACCGCCAGCAAGUCGGUGGACGCUCGAAAGCCCACACCGGCAGGGAAGAACUCAGCGGGCGGACCCCCUCGGGUGGCCCUCAGCCGAGCCUAUUCUUCAAGAUUGGCGUUGAGGGCGCAAAGCUCCCUGUGGCGAUCCUCGGAGGCCCUGCGCCGAGAAUCAGCCUCCUGAGCCUCGGAGAGAGCAUGUUCGCGGGCUUCCAUCGCCAUGGCAAGAGACCUCUCCGCCUCCACAUGGGCGCGCUCAUGCUGCGGACGGACGAGGUUCACGACAACUUCAAGCUGACGCCACCCCGAUGCAAGGUGUCGGCGCUCGUCCUCCAGACGGACUUCAUUGUUAGCAAGCCCCGUUCCUAGACGUUGAAGCGCGUCCGCCUCGGUGAGGAGCAAGCCCCACAGCGUUGCGCACAAACCCUCAACAAACUCCAGUGGCCAAUAAGAUCUCUCUCUUUCUACACGACGAGCGGGAGAGGCGUGCGAGGAGUCUCUCAGCCAAAAUCCAUGCUCGGGGGUUGGGGCCUCACCCGCAGGCGCUUCGUUGGAAAGAAGUGCCCCGUGAGGCCCCACGUCGCCAAGCAGAAGGGGUCUGGAAGGGAGGUGCAGCAUGACCCCGGGAGGAGCCGCAGGCGAGGGGAAUGGCACUCUCUUGGGGAGCCAGAGGCCGCGGGCGAGGAAGGCCGCAGUGGGCUCAUGCGCGAGGGAAUCAGGAGGUUGGACCCCGCUGGGCGCGGGGGAAGAAACCACAAGAUGCUCAGUGAUCUCAGGGCGGAUAGCACCGACCCGCCUCCCCUGUCGUCAGAAGGGAGCCUGUAUAACAAAGGCUCAGAAGGGAGGCGCAAAAAUAAAGGAUGAAGGAGGGUGCGGGCGCUUACUCGUCUACGACGACCCACUUCUUCUUCACUGGAGCCCACCGCGUUGAGGGGCGGCCGCCCUCAGGCGACCUCCUCUUCCUGCCAACGCGGUUGGCCUGGCGAGGAUACCCGGCGGACCUUGGUUGAAGCUUGAAAGCGGGGGCGGCGACUUCCACCAUCGACCGGUCAUCACCACCAGCCCCGGCCCGUCCUGGAGCAAGAGCUGGGGUAGCGGGCGGCGAUACACCUCCCACCUCGGCCGUGGGAGGGGCAGCACGACCAGAGUUUUCGUGGGCCUGAACCCCAAGGGUCGAGCGUUGGGGAACGUUGCAUGGGAAACAAAAUAUUUCCUACGCACACGAAGACCGGUCAUGGUGAUGUUCAUCUACGAGAGGGAGUUCGGAUCCACAUACCCUUGUAGAUCGCUAAGCGAGAAGCGUUAAUAAACGCGGUUGAUGUAGUGGUACAGCUUCGUGAUUCAAAUCACCUCAUCCCACGAUCCAUUCCGAUCUAGCGCCGAACGGACGGCACCUCCGCGUUCAGCACACGUACAACUCGAUGACGAUCUCUGCCUUCUUGAUCCAGCAAGAGACACGGGGAAGUAGAUGAGUUCUCCAGCAGCGUGAUGGUGCACCGGUGAUGGUGAUGAUCUAUUCCUGCAGGGCUUCGCCCGAGCUCCGCAGAAAACCGAUCUAGAGGAAGAACUACGAAGUAGAGGUUUGAGUUGCACGUGGGAAAGUUGUGUCUCAAAAACCCUAAAACCUCUAGUAUAUAUAGGAGGAGGGGAGGGGCUAGCCUUGGGGCUCAAGGUAGCCCCAAGGGCACCAACUGAGAGGAGGAGGACUCCAACUCCAAUUCGGUUUGGGGAAGGAGGAGUCCUCCACUUCCUUCCCACCUCUCUCUUUUUCUUUGGUUUCCUUUUCCUAGCGCCAUAGCCCACUUGGGCUGGCCUCAUCAUCCCACUAAGGGCUGGUGCGCCAACCUUGGGCUAUUAGGCUCACUCCCGGGUGGGUGGGCCCCUCCCGGUGAAAACCCGUAAUCCAUUCGUCACUCCAGGUACACUACUGGUAAUGCCCGAAAUCUUUCCGGAGACCAAAUGAAACCAUCCUACAUAUCAAUCUUCAUUUCCGGACCAUUCCAGGAACCCUCGUGACGUCCAUGAUCUCAUCCGGAACUCCGAACAACCUUCGGUCACCAACACCUAUAACUCAACUAUACCGAAACGUCACCGAACUUUACGUGUGCAGACCCUGUGGGUUCGAGAACUAUGCAGACAUGACCUGAGACACUCCCCGGUCAAUAUCCAAUAACGGGACCUGCAUGUCCAUAUUGGAUCCUACAUAUUCUACGAAGAUCUUGUCGGUUGAACCUCUAUUCCAAGGAUUCAUAUAAUCAUAUACAAAAUUCCCUUUGUCCUUCGGCAUGUUACUUGCCCGAGAUUUGAUCGUCAGUAUCACUAUACCUAUUUCAAUCUCGUUACCGACAAGUCUCUUUACUCGUUCUGUAAUACAAGAUCCUGUGACUAAAACUUGACUCACAUUGCUUGCAAGGCUUAUAUGUGAUGUUGUAUUACCGAGUGGGCCCCGAGAUACCUCUCCGUCACACGGAGUGACAAAUCCCAGUCUUGAUCCAUGCUAACUCAAUGGACACCUUCGGAUAUACUUGUAGAGCACCUUUAUAGUCACCUAGUAACGUUGUGACGUUUGAUACACACAAGGUAUUCCUCCGGUGUCAGUGAGUUACAUGAUCUCACGGUCAUAGGAAUGAAUACUUGACACGCAGAAAACAAUAGCAACAAAAUGACACGAUCACAUGCUACGUUCAUAGUUUAGGUCUUGUCCAUCACAUCAUUCUCCUAAUGACGUGAUCCAGUCAUCAAGUGACAACACUUGCAUAAGGUCAGAAAACCUUAACCAUCCAUGAUCAACUGGCUAGUCAACUAGAGGCUUACUAGGGACAUUGUUUUGUCUAUAUAUCCACACAUGUAUCUAUGCUUUCAUUCAAUACAAUUAUAGCAUGGAUAAUAAACGAUUAUCUUGAAACAGGAAGUAUAAUUAUUAUUAUUUUCUCAUUGCCUCUAGGGCAUAUUUCCAACAGUCUGCCACUUGCACUAGAGUCCAUAAUCUAGUCUCACAUCGCUAUGUGAUUUACAUUGGAAUGAAUCUAACACCCAUACAGCUCUGUUGUUGAUCAUGCUUCGCUCGUGGAAGAGGUUUAGUCAGCGGAUCUGCAACAUUCAGAUCUGUCUGCACUUUGCAAAUAUUUACGUCCUCUCCUUCGACGUAGUCGCAGAUGAGGUUGAAGCGUCGUUUGAUGUGUCUCGUCUUCUUGUGAAACCUUGGUUCCUUUGCUAGAGCAAUGGCACCAGUGUUAUCACAUAAUAGAGUUAUUGGAUUUAGUGCACUCGGCACAACUCCAAGAUCCGUCAUGAACUGCUUCAUCCAGACACCCUCCUUAGCUGCCUCUGAGGCAGCCAUGUACUACGCUUCACAUGUAGAAUCUUCUAUGACGCUUUGCUUGGAACUGCACCAGCUUACCGCACCCCCAUUAAGAAUAAAUACGUAUCUGGUUUGAGACUUAGAGUCAUCCUGAUUAGUGUCAAAGCUUGCAUCGAAGUAACCCUUUACGACGAGCUCUUCAUCACCUCCAUAAACGAGAAACGUUUCCUUAGUCCUUUUCAGGUACUUCAGAAUAUUCUUGACCGACAUCCAGUCAUCCACUCUUGGAUUACUUUGAAACCUGUCUGCCAUACUUAUGGCCAGGCUGACGUCCGGUCUUGUGCACAGCAUUGCGUACAUGAUAGACCCUAUGGCUGAAGCAUAGGGGACGAUACUCAUCUUUUCUCUAUCUUCCGUAGUUACUCGACACUGAGUCUUACUCAACUUUAUACCUUCUAACACUGGCAAGAACCCCUUCUUGGACUGCUCCAUUUUGAACUUCUUCAAAACUUUAUCAAGGUAUGUGCUUUGUGAAAGUCCUAUUAGGCGCCUCGAUCUAUCCCUAUAGAUCUUAAUGCCUAAUAUGUAAGCAGCUUCUCCUAGGUCUUUCAUUGAAAAACAUUUGUUCAAGUAAUCCUUUACGCUCUCUAAAAACUCCACAUUGUUUCCAAUCAGCAAUAUGUCAUCCACAUAUAAUAUUAGAAACGCUACAGAGCUCCCACUCACUUUCUUGUAAAUACAAGAGUCUCCAACAACUUGUACAAACCCAAAUGCUUUGAUCACCUCAUCAAAGCGCUUAUUCCAACUCCGAGAUGCUUGCACCAGUCCAUAAAUGGAUCGCUGGAGCUUGCAUACUUUGUUAGCAUUCUUUGGAUUGACAAAACCUUUGGGUUGCAUCAUAUACAACUCUUCCUUAAGAAAACCAUUAAGGAACGCCAUUUUGACAUCCAUCUGCCAUAUUUCAUAAUCGAAAAAUGCAGCUAUUGCUAACAUGAUUCGGACGGACUUAAGCAUCGCUACCGUGAGAAUGUCUCAUCAUAGUCAACUCCUUAAACUUGUGAAAAACCCUUUGCCACAAGUAGAGCUUUAUAAACGGUCACAUUACCAUCCGCGUUCGUCUUCUUCUUAAAGAUCCAUUUGUUCUGAAUAGCCUUGCGACCUUCAGGUAAUACUUCCAAAGUCCACACUUUGUAUUCAUACAAAGAUCCUAUCUCGGACUUCAUGGCCUCUAACCAUUUGUUGGAAUCCAUGCCCACCAUUGCUUCUUCAUAAUUCGCAGGUUCAUUGUUGUCUAACAACACGAUAGAUAAGACAGGAUUCCCAUACCACUCGGGAGCAGUACGUGACUUGUCGACCUGUGAGGUCCAACAGUAACUUGAUCCGAAGCUUCAUCAUCAUCGUCAUUAGCUUCCUCCUCAAUUGGUGUUUCCUCGACAGAGAUUUCUCUUUGCCCUGUGCCACCAUCCAGAGGGAACAUAGGUUCCACAACCUCAUCAAGUUCUAUCUUCCUCCCACUCAAUUCUUUUGAGAGAAACUCCUUCUCAAGAAAAGCUCCAUUCUUGGCAACAAACACUUUGCCCUCGGAUCUGAGAUAGAAGGUGUACCCAACUGUGUCUUUUCAGUUACCUAUGAAGACACACUUUUCCGCUUUGGGUUCCAGCUUUUCAGGCUGAAGCUUUUUUACACAAGCAUCGCAUCCCCAAACUUUAAGAAACGACAACUUUGGCCUCUUGCCAUGCCAUAGCUCAUAUGGUGUCGUUUCAACGGAUUUUGAAGGUGCCCUAUUUAAAGUGAAUGCAGCUGCCUCUAAUGCAUAACCACAAAACGAUAACGGCAAACCGGUAAGAGACAUCAUAGAUCGCACCAUAUCUAACAAAGUACGAUUACGAUGUUCGGACUCACCAUUAUGUUGUGGUGUUCCACACGGUGUCAUCUGUGAAACGAUUCCACAUUGUCUUAAGUGAGCACCAAACUCGACACUCAGAUAUUCAACCCCGUGAUCAGAUCGCAGGAACUUGAUCUUUUUGUUAUGAUGAUUUUCAACUUCACUCUGGAAUUGCUUGAACUUCUCAAAGGUUUCAGACUUGUGCUUCAUCAAGUAGAUAUAUCCAUGCCUACUCAAAUCAUCAGUGAAGGUGAGAAAAUAACGAUAUCCGCCGCAUGCCUCCACACUCAUCAGACCGCACACAUCAGUAUGUAUGAUUUCCAACAAGUCACUUGCACGCUCCAUUGUUCCGAAGAACGGAGUCUUAGUCAUCUUGCCCAUGAGGCAUGGUUCGCACGUGUCAAGUGAUUCGAAAUCAAGUGACUCCAAAAGCCCAUCAGCAUGGAGUUUCUUCAUGCGCUUUACACCAAUUUGACCUAAACGGCAGUGCCACAAAAAGGUGGCGCUAUCAUUGUUAACGCUACAUCUUUUGGUCUCAAUGUUAUGUAUAUGUGUGUCAUCACAAUCAAGAUUCAAUAUGAACAAACCUCUCACAUUGGGUGCAUGACCAUAAAAGAUAUUACUCAUAAAAAUAGAACAACCAUUAUUCUCUGCCUUAAAUGAGUAACCGUCUCACAAUAAACAAGAUCCGGGUAUAAUGUUCAUGCUUAACGCGGGCACUAAAUAACAAUUAUUUAAGUUCAUAGCUAAUCCUCAUGGUAAAGGAAGUGAGACUGUGCCGACGGUGAUUGCAUCAACCUUGGAACCAUUUCCCAUGUGCAUCCUCACUUCAUCCUUCGCCGGCCUUCGUUUAUUCCGCAGUCCCUGCUUCGAGUUGCAAAUAUGAGCAACAGAACCGGUAUCAAAUACCCAUGCACUACUACGAGAGUUGGUUAGGUACACAUCAAUAACAUGUAUAUCACAUAUACCUCGUUUGGCAUUGGCCGCCUUCUUAUCAGCCAAAUACUUGGGGCAGUUGCGCUUCCAGUGACCAUCCCCUUGCAAUAAUAGCACUCUGUUUCUGGCUUAGGUGUCACGCCCAAGAUGCGACCCUAUCCUCAAUUUGACACGAGGGCCUGGUCAGGGAUAGAAGCGCAUCUCGUCGUUUCGCAAGAAUGGAUAUCGUUACAAGUACUUGUACUGAAAAGAAGAGAUAUAUAAAUAGAAUUGGCUUACACUCGCCACAAGCAAAAUCAGAGUCACAGCAGUACAAUACAUCAUCAACAUGAAGAAGAGCAGGGUCCGACUACGGAUGAAAACAAACGAGAAAAGAAGAACGACGUCCGUCCUUGCUAUCCCAGGCUGCCGGCCUGGAACCCAUCCUAGAUCGAUGAAGAAGAAGAAUAAGAAGCAACUCCAAAUGAACAAUCAACGCGCUCGCGUCAAAUAACCUUUACCUGUACCUACAACUUGUGUUGUAGUAAUCUGUGAGCCACAGGGGACUCAGCAAUCUCAUUUCCAAAGGUAUCAAGACUAGCAAAGCUUAAUGGGUGAGGUAAGGUUAAGUGGUGAGGUUGCAGCGGCGGCUAAGCAUAUAUUUGGUGGCUAACUUACGAGUACAAGAAAUAAGAGGGGGAAGAUCUACGCGUAGCGGACGUGACCACUGAUGAUCAAAUGAAUGAUCCUAAACACCUACCUACGUCAGACAUAACCCCACCGUGUCCUCGAUCGGAGAAGGAAAUCACGAAAGUGACAGUCACAGUUACGCACAUAGUUGGCAAGUUAUAAUUAAGUUAACUUCAAGUUAUCUAGAACCAGUGUUAAACAAAGUUUCCACGUUGCCACAUAACCGUGGGCACGGUUUUCCGAAAAUAUUUAACCCCGCAAGGGUGCUCCAACUAAUCCAUCACAAAUUACCACAAGCCGCAUAGAAAUCCUCGAUCACGAAGCUCACAAUCUCGUCGGACUCCUUAGUGGAAAACCUCAACUCUGAGAUUACCCAAAGCAUCACCGGAAUCCCGAUGCACAAGAUAUCUCGUCAAAGGUAAAACUAAUCCAGCAAGGCCGCCCGGCGUGUCGACGAUCCCGAUAGGAGCCGCGUAUCUCGUUCUCAGGACACGACGGAUAAGCGACGCGUAUGGUGGCCUGAUAGAAAUCACCCAAGUUUCCCUGGGUUGGCCCCGCACAGUGCUCUGUUUUGGACCAGCACCAUCAGCACUGGCCCUCCCUAUAUUAUGUAGAAUUACUCCUUGGGUAGCGCUAACUCCCUAUGCAUUUCAGUAUUAACAGAAUUAUCAUGUUGGGCAAAUGUUGUACCAAUGUUGGGCCUUGCCAGACCAGCUUUAAUCUAAAAUGAAUUAUCAAGGGGGUCCCCAUAACAACCCCAAUCGUGUUAGGAGCGCUCAAAUAUGGAACAUAACACCGAUAGGCGAAACUAAGGGGGCAAAGGUGGAACAAAACACCAGGCUAGAAAGGCCGAGCCUUCCACCUUUACCAAGUAUAUAGGUGCAUUAAUUUAAUAGCAAUUAAUAGGGUGAUAUAACAAGGAACCUAUGUUAUCACAUGGAACCAACUACACCUGCAACUAGCAACGCUAACACGGGGUUAAGCAAGCGGUAACAUAGCCAAUCAGUGGUUUGCUAGGUUGAACAGGUUGAAGGUUUUCAUGGCAUUGUUGAGAGGCUGAUAUUUAACAUGUGGUAGGCAAACACACAUAAUCGAUAGCAUCGAAAUAACUAGCAUGGCAAUGAUAGUAAUGGUAUCUGGUGAAAUGGUCAUCUUCCUGAGAUCCCGCUUGGAAGAAGAACGACUCCGUGAAGCAGACGAACCGAUGUAGUCGAUCGGGUCCUCACUUUCCGACACGCUUGCGGAACUCUAUCGAGAUGGACGAAACCGCAAACAAGCAUCAACACACGAUAUUCACCACACGAUGCACAUCACAUAUGAUGCAUGAGCAGCUGAAUACAUGCAAGUCACGGCAUGUCAAUUCACAACAACCAAAUACUACACAUUAAGUGAAGUUCAAUAUGCAACGAGUUGCAUAUUGAUGAAACUCCACAUACGAGUUAUUUAGUUCUAUCCCAAUUAGGUACACGGCAAUAUUAAAUGUGGUGACACAUGGCAAGAGGUGAAGCGUAAUUAAACUACCUAUCUAGGCAUUUUAAAUGAGGUCGGAAAUGACAUAUAGCACCUCCGAAACGACCUCACAUGUUAAUUUUACAAUUCUGUCCAGAUCUGAACUAACACAUUUAAUUAGUUGUUAAACAGCAAAACAAAUAGGUUCACGUGAUUCUACGCGUCUUUACAAGAAAUUUACACAUAGAGAACAUCUCCAACGGAUUUACGGAUCAAAAGAUACAAGCACCACAAGAUAUGAUGGCAUGAAUGCAAAAUGUGUGCAACGACAGUCACGAGCACUUCAAAACAUACAACCAGCAAGAGAAAAUGAAACUACACGAGAUUCUAAGCAAGUUUAAUAUAGGAUACGAUCAAAACGGAGCUACGGUUCAACAACUACGAGCAAAACAAGAAAUCACUACAAUCUGCCAAAAUCAGCCACAUAGCAUUUUCUACGCCCCACAACUACGAGCUACAAAAUCCCAACAUGCUCAACCAAGGCAUGAGACGAUAGAGGGAAAGAAGCACUACAACAUACAACCAACAACACCUAGCAUGGCAUCAAGGAACACUAGGAAAAGAAGUCACAAAAUGGCUUCUCACACACAAUUUCAGACUUAGUGAAAAUAACACUUCAUGAAAGUGCAGUUUCGAUCUGAAGCCAUAUUGACAGCAGCAAAACCAUAAUCUACACGACUCCAAAUGGCACGAAAAUUCACAGCAUGCUAUAGAAUCCCAAAGUCUACAACUAACUCCAUUGGACCAACCUCAAAAGAGCUACAGAUCACAAGAUAGAAGCAAGACAAGACAUCAACAAAAUAUAACAGAUCUCAGACUUACAAAUAUUUCAGCAACUCUAAAACAUCACUAUUUCCUAGCAAGUAAAGAACAACCAAAGCACACCUAAACAUGGAUUUCUAUUGCAACUAAAAAUACCAGGGGCUAGACUAAACAUCAAAGGGCAAAUCUCUAGUUGACAACUCCUUCAAACGAAGCACGGAAUAAAUCCUAUGAAAUAGACAACAGGGCAACAUAGCAAAAUAUUGCGCGAACUAACUUGCUCAAAAGCUAAAACUGUAUACACAGAAAUGUGGGGUUGCACAACAAUAAUAUCGCUGCACGUAAAUGCGAGAUAAUGUCCUAAACACGGAAAAUAAACUAGCGGCAAAUCCCUACACACACAAAAUACCAAUGACUACUCUAAAAUACAUGGCAAAGGGGUUCCUAAAACAUGGACAUUUCUACUAUGGCAUUCGAGCUAUUCGAACACACGCGAAAAAUAAAUGCGGGCACUAUCCUAUUGAGACAGCACGUAAACCUAGGCAUAUGGCACGCUAAACGGCGUCAAACAUUUAUGCAAGUUAUUAAUUCGGAUUCUACGCGCAAAACUACACAAAAACCAUAUACAACUCAUCGCGAUCCGACUUACAGAUUAAAAGAUAUGGCAUAUUAUUAUAAGUCUAUAUUCUGGAAUUUAUUAAUUCCUGAAACUACCUAAAUUAUCUAAUGGGCCGACAGUGGCGUAAUAUAGCGAAAAGGUGCACACGCGGGGGAAUGGCUCACCUUGGGCCCCAAGGAGGCAGUGGGCCGAGGGGGCUCCUGGGACGAAGGGGCGCUCGAGGAGUGGCCGAGCAGGGGAGGAGGCCACCCCCAGCUGGGCCUUGCCGGGCAGAUCGGCCCAUCGGCCAGGGCGAGCGAGGCAGCCUGGUCGGGCGGUCGCCUCCUCCCGCACGCGCAUAGGGAACCGGCGGCGGGAGCUGACCGCGGCGGCUCGUCUGUCCGGCGAAUGGGGGUGCAGGCGGCGGGGGAAACCGGCAGUAUCCGCCGGAUCCGGCCAUGGGGAAUCUGUUCCCGAUGGCGGCGGAUCGAGGCGGCGCUUGGGNAUGGGCACUGGCCGUGUCCAGCGGCUGGAGUUGCUAGGAGGCGCGGCGAGCCCGACAGGGAGCUACAGGCGGCGGGGUCUACCCCGGGCAGGCGGCGGCCGCGGCUCAGGCGCGGGGCAUCGGCGCAGGCUGGCGACGAGGGCGCCCUGGCGAGGAGUAGAGGAGCUCAGGAAGGAGGAGGGUUGGCACGGGGCGGAUCUGGGCCGUUGGAUCUUCGAUCUGACGAUCCAGAUCGCUCAGAUCGGAUCUGAGGUUUAGCUCGAGAAGGUGGUGGCUAGGGUUUUCACGAAUUUCGAGGAGAGAGGGGGUUGGCUGCCUAAAAAAUAGGAGGGGGUCUAUUUAUCACAAAUGGGGAGGCUAGGUUAACUGGAAUUUCAUUCCGGAUCCAACCGUGCGGGUCGGAAUCGGACGAUUCCGAAUGCGGGACGGACUAAGUGGCCGUGUAGAGUAGGUAUCCGAAGACGAGAGGGAAAACGGGCGGCACGGCAACGAUAUUUUAAACACCGAUAACGUCCGACGAUAGACCAAAUACGGUGCCGCUACGGUCGACCGUUCGGGUACGAGACGGACUCCGAUCGCGACGAACUUUUACACACGGCCUACCUAUAUAAAAUAAGACCGCACGUCUAAUCUCAACCCAAUCAGAGAAAGUUUUACGCACACUUUUUAAAACAAGAUAUUGACGGUGCCACGGACGCAUGCGUGUGUUGUCGGCUCAGAACGGUCAACGACGAGAACCGGCAACUAAUAACGGAUGCAAGUUUUGAAAAUUGGCGGCAACGGAGAUGUCGAUGCAAUGAAGAUGAUGUGAAUGAUGCGAUGAUGAUGCGACAAAAGAAAAUAGACACAUGACGAAAAUGGAAUGAGGGGGGAAUCUUCUGGAACGUCGGUCUCGGGCUGUCACAACUCUCCUACACUACAAGAGGAUCUCGCCCCGAGAUUCAAGAAUGAAAGGGGGAGAGGAUGAGAAAGAAUAAGAGGUAAAAACUUAGUCGCUUCUUUGACAAACGAGUGAAACCAACGAUCCUUGAAGGUAGCAAAGAGAUGAGGAAUGAUAUGAGAAAGAAGCAAGAAUUCACGGAAAAUUUCGGCAGCACUUCGGUAGGAAAAUGGGACAAAAAAUUCGAUAAGAUGGGAGAAAUAGACAAUAUUCAUAACAAACAACUAAAUAGAACAAGGGAACACCAUGAUCUUGGUAGAACAACAUAAUAGACCCAAAAGAGAAACAUCACAAUGCCUCCGGAACAAUAGAAUAGGAACUAGCUCAUACGGAAGAAGAGAAUGAAGAGAGAAUGACAACUACUAAAUCCAAUGAACUUGGCAAGCAUCCUUGCAAGAAGAAUUGGACGGAGUUGUUGGAAAAACAACAACGAAAAGAACAAGAUAGUAAUGGGCUUAUGGAAACCUUUUCAAACUAAUGAAGUGACAACCAGCCACUAACACAACCAAGGAUUGAUUGGGAGAAACAAUAUAUGAACAAUUUCUUACACCAAGAGGAUACAUUGAGAACUUGGAUUAAUGACAAGCACCAUGAUAGCAACAAUCCAUAGGAAAAGCUUUAGGUGAAAUCCAAACCAAGAUAGCUCAAUGAAGAAAUCAUGGGUUGAAAAUAUCUCAUGAUCAUAGAAUUGGUGGGUUUAAUUAUCUCAUUCUUGAAAGGAAAUCUCUUCGAGACUCCUACACUAACAAGAAUGCUAUAAUACCACCUCAAAGGAAAAGGAAGAACAAAUGCACUUGGAAAUGCAAGAGAAGAAAACUUGAGGUUCUCCAAUAAGAUUCUUGAAGAACACUUGAGAAUGAAUUGGAACCUUGAUGAACCACCAUGGAGGACCUCCGUAUACAAAUGAAUGAUGCAACGAUAUGAAGGUAGAAAAGAAUAAGAUUAUGACCUUGCCAAAAUUUAGAUGAAGCCUCACAAAGAGAUACUUAAAAGAACUUGGAACUCCGGAAAAGAAAGAUAGGCACUUGAGAAAAGAAUUGAUAUCAUGAGCCCUCCGGAAGAAGAAUUGAAAUCUCUUGGAAGAAGGAAGGACAAUAAUAAGAAUUAUGUUAUGCUCAUCCUUCAUCAAAUUAAAUUGAUGACAAGCAAUGGAUCUAGCAUACAACUUAUUCUUCUGAGAAGAUUGAGGAGAGAUAUGAGCACAAACUAGAAGAAUUGUUGCAAGAAACACCGGUGAGAAUUGAAAUGAACGAGGCAACCAUGAAUGAAUGGAGAUACAUGAGAAUGAAGAGAUCAUGAGCCACCUGAGAGAAAACUAGAACAAGGCACCAGAAUAAUUGAGAGGCGAACGAAGAGACAACAAUUGAGAAGAAUUGAGGAUGAAAGCUGAAAGCUGAGAACGAAGAAUCUUCUAAAAUGAUGGCCUUCGGAGGAUCGAGAAAUGAACAUAACAUUGAAAUGCACCGAAUAGCAACAAAGGAAUUACUCAUGAUUGGGAACAAUCCAAGAUGAUAACACAACGCUGAAAUAACGAAUAUCCAAGAGAAUAGACCAAGAUUUGAGAGAAACACUCCUUCGAAUUUGCAAGCUGAGAAUGAUGACGAGGAACAACACCAAGAAUAGCUGAGACACUCCAAAAUAAGAACAAGGAAAAAUUUAGCCAAUGACGACAAAUAAAUUUGAAGCAAUCUUGAAGAAGGAAUAAGACUUAUGAAAUUCAUACUUACGUCAUAGUUGAAAAGAACAAGAUAACUCCGGAAGGAUUACAAGACUGAGAUAAGAUCCUGGGAAAGAACAUGUGGGUUAUGGGCCCACUCAAAGAAUCACCGUUGAAAAGAUUGCUUAGAAAGAGAGAUAUUGCACCGGUACAAAUGAAAACUUGAUGAGGUUGAGCACCUCGAAAUAAAUAAAAGAAUUGAAAACACGAAACUUCCGAGAUAUCUUCAACAUACUGGAUAGAAAGAGAAGAAUGAAUAACAAGAUAGGCUGAAAAGAAUUUCCAACAUAGGAAAGCAUUUAAAGG
Molecule: long non-coding RNA, 71835 nt
Filed under: Hordeum vulgare
Lineage: Eukaryota; Viridiplantae; Streptophyta; Magnoliopsida; Poales; Poaceae
Description: long non-coding RNA (HVUL_LNC007632)
Source: RNAcentral